ACUUUACCUUUUACCAUGGGACUUGUAACCGUCACUUCUGUCUUGAGUGAUUAAAAGAUAGAACAGUCUAGUCAAGUGCCAUGUCUCUUAUUCUUGAUUAGCUAUAGCUCUGGUGUUUUUGCAGAUUUUCAAACAAAACUCAGAGAUUCCUUGUAUGAUUCUCUCAAAUCUCUCUUUUGUGGUAUUUUUGGAUCCUUACCAAAGCAGUGAUGGUAUAUGCCUUCUCUCAAUAUAUGUGGUAUUUGUGGUAUAAAGCAUAGUGACAUUGCCUUCUCUCUCACCCUACUCUAAUAAGGCUUUAAUAUCUGGAGCUCAUAGGCGGGAGAUAAAAUAUACAUACUUACAAGACAUUUAUUGUAUACUCAAACCAUGGAUCCAAAGAAACAAAUCAAUAAGUCAAAUCAAGAUGUGCAUGUGUGGCGAAUGAAUGGCGUAUGGUGAUAAUAAUGGUGAAAGUCUAAUUCUACUUUUGCUCUUUGAGGGGAUACAUACCUUCCUUGCUUUUUGAAACAUUUUGAGGAGAAUGAGAUGCUCUUCUUUUUUUUCUUUCUCUCAGGUGGGUAUCUUGUACCCCUAAUUCUACUGUCGGACACUUGUCCAUUUUUACCUCUCGUCUCACUUUUUCUUUUCUUCCGAGGUUCCGGGCACUUGUCCCUUUUUAUUUCCUCGUAUCUUUUCUUUUCUUCUUUUUUUUAGAGCACUCAUCUCUUGAGAUAAUAUAGCAAGUGGUAGUAACAAGAUUACUUGAGCAUUUAUUUCACAAGGGAAAACAGAAAUAUUUUUGGCUAUUCUCUCCCGGAUUAGGAGUAAAAUAUUUUUUUGGGUGAUUCUAGAGAUGGAAAUGGAUGGAUAUUUGUGGAUGGUACUUCUGGCGUAGAAGCAACAUAUGUGAGUGAACGUGCAAGUGAAAUUUUGAUUUAACCACAUGACAAGCUCCUGAGGGUCUACACAGCUUGACCACACUCAAUGCUCAUAAGCAGUAAAUAGUAAAUGUGUGGCUCAAAAUCUAGCAAGCAUGUAUAUAUGGCUGUGGUAGGAAUUUAAACUCUCAUCAUACAGCAACUCAUCAUGAAAUAUUUUAAAGAUUUUCAAAGAUAAAAUUCUCCAGAAUUCUAGCAUCUCUAGGAACAGAUAAACAGGAGCUCAACCUUCCCAUAUCAUAUCCGUUAACAACUUAGACUUCAGAUCAAUUUUUCUUCCCACAAGUUUAGGUUUAGAGCAAGCUUUAAAUUAUAACAGUUAUGUCUAAACUUGAGAGAGAAUUUCAAAAUUUAAAGAUUAGGCAGAGCAACUAUUCAUCAUAUCCAUGCUUGAGUUUUAUUUUUAAGAUUCAGAUUAGCAUAGCCACUUUAUUUAUUUAUUAAACACACUAAGCAAAAGGCAAAUAUAUAAGCAUAAAAUCUUUAUUUGUUUUUCCAUAAUUAUGUAUAUCUAUAUUUUAAUAUAGUAUAAGUAUAAAGGUAGAUAGAAAUACUUAUCGGGAUAAAUGAGGGUGCUCUCCCCCAAGCUGAAUUUUGACGUAAUUUCUCUUGAUGUAGCUAGCAGGUGGCAGAGGUGUGUUUGAAAGUCGGCAGCAUCCUUAGAGCGAUUAGAAUGUCCUCCGUCUGCUAGUCUUCUUGAUUCUUGAAUUCUGUGGAGCUCAAAUGGACAACAAAGCUUGUGGAACUGAUUAAGUGUUAGCAUAAAUAUCUAGCCUUUAUCAUGUUGAGACUUCUUAAUAAUUAUUACUCCCUAUUUUUAUAUUUUCAUUUUAUAAUGCAGAAAAUAAAUUUUUAUUUUAUUUUUAUGCCACCACAGUGAAUGUACUUAUGGGUUUUAUGCCACUCGUAUUCUCACAUGGGGCUUACUGUUUUUUAACAUUUUUAUUUUCUUUUUAGGAUAGUAUAAAUAUAACUAAUUAAGUAAACUAUUUUAAAUAAUUGAAAGGGAAAGGAUAACUACCAAGUUUACCUCUUGGCAAGGCGUUCGGUGUUUUUAAGUCCUCCGAACGGGACUCUCCGUUUUCUAGUUGUCGUGGAAUUUGUUGGGUGGCGUAGUCGGUACUUCCGACGGCGCCUCCUCUUCAUAUAUGGUUAUCUUCUCUUUCCACACUUGACUCGGUGCUACGGUCUCCUCUGGAUAAUUAUGUUUAAACUCUACGUCUUCUGACCUUACCACUUCUCCUUCGUAGUCUGCCCAUCCGUCCUUGAUGAUUUCCCUCCUCUGGUUGCGGUUGCGUCGUUUUCUGACCUGCUUAGAUUCUUCAACGAUAUAGUUAGGGUCAGUAAAAUAGGGCGUACCUUCUCUGAGGGGAAGUGCAUAUGGACUUCUCUGGUUCCAAUGUAGAUGAUUGCUUUAACGGUGCUGAGGAACGGUCUUCCAAGGAUGAUGGGUGGAUCGUAUUCAUCUUCUCCCAUGUCAAUAACCUGAAAGUCUGUGUAGACAAAAUGAUCGUCUAUUUUGACUGGGACAUCAGUUACUGUUCCUUUAACUUCUCGAAAUGUCUGAUCUACCAUCUAGAGCUGAAUGUAUGUUGGUUUUAGGGGCAUGGUUCCGAACAAGAGCCGAUAGGUGACUGCGGCCAUUAUGUUGACGCCCGAUCCGGUGUCACAAGUCGUCUUGUAGAAGUUGUAUCCAUUUAUGGAGCAAUAGAUGCUUGGCAUUCUUGGGUCGUCCUUCUUGGUCAGAAACGGUGACUUAAGUUGGUGAUCUUGGCCUCCAUGAACUGCAGUGACCAUCUUAGCUGACUCGGUCCACACUUGCUUGUUCCUGUUCCUCCUGUUGGUCCUCUUCCUUGAUUCACGUCUGGAUUGAUCUGGAAUUUGUGUAGUCUUGUUUUUGAAGGAAAACGUCUCCUUCCUCCCUUUGAUGUAGAAACUGAUCUUGGCAGCACUAGCGUAGAUGACAGCUUCCGAGGUGUUUAAGAAUGGCCUCCCUAAGAUGAUGGGUGCUCUCUCAUCAUUACCGGUCUCUAUCACCACGAAGUCUGCUAGGGCAUACAAGGUACCAACUCGGACACAAAGGUUCUUCAAUAUUCCUUUUGGAAAACUUAAUGCCUGAUCUGCAAACUGCAAACACAAGGUUGUCUCUAAUAAAGGAUAUGUAAAGAAUUUUUUAUAGAGUACCCUGGGUAUAAUGUUGACGCUGGAGCCAAAGUCACAGAGUGCUUCUGGGACGUCCACCAUGCCGAUGGAGAUCGGGAUGACAGGGCGUCCUGGAUCGCCUCUCUUGACCGGCAGAAGGUCAGUAGUAACUUCAGUGACGGGGUUACUCCAAUUACCUGCAUCAAACAUGUUUACAAGAUUUGCAGAUUCUAAUCCUUCCGGUUGUGAUGGUAUACCGGGGUUAGUAGUAGGAACAGCAGCAGCUAUUUGAUUUAACUGAGAUUCAAUCAUUUUAUUAAAGCUAAUUUGAUUCUUGAUGGCAGUAGAGAAAUUAUCCAUUCUAUUAUUUAUAUUUUCUAGCAUUUUAUCAUUAGAUGCCAAUUUCUUAGAUAGAUUAUCCAUUAGCUUUCCUUGAUUAGACACUAACUCUCUCAAAGGUGGAAAAUUAUUAUUAUUGUUGUAGGAAUUGUUACCUUGAUAAUUACCUGAGUAGUUAGGCCUCUGUUGAUUCCAACCUUGAUUUUGUUGAGGACGGUUGUAGUAGUUAUUGUUGUUGUUGUUGUUGAUGUAGUUCACUUCCUCAAGUAUCUCAGGGCAGUGAUUGCCUCAGUGUCCAGUAUCUCCACACUCCUCACAAGUCAUGUGAGAGUCGUAGAUGUGCAUAACUUCUUUCUUAUCUCCAGCUCUAUCGUCGAGCUUCUUCAUGAGUAGGUCUAGCUUUACAGACAGCAUGUCUACCUCCUUGAGCUGAUGCAUACCUCCACCUUUCUUGCGUGUCUGGGUCCUUUCUUCAUUCCAACCUUGAUUGGACGCCAUCUUCUCCACAAGAGCUGUGGCUUGUGAUAUGGUAAGUGAUAAGAAUGCUCCCCCAGCUGCAGCAUCCAUGGUUUCUCGGGCACUGUUGCCGAGCCCAUGAUAAAACGUCUGCAUUAGUAGCUAGCUCUCCAUUCCAUGAUGGGGACAUUCUAGGAUGUAGUCUUGAAAGUGCUCCCAUGCUUCUAGAACAGAUUCGUCAUGUUGUUGCUGAAAACUUGUAAUCUUCCCACGGAGAGCAUUGGUCUUGCCCAUGGGAAAGAACUUAGCUAGGAAGUUUGUUGAGCAGAGUGCCCACGUAGUAUUCUUCUCCUUUGUAGCGUAGAACCACUGCUUCGCUCUCCCUAAUAGUGAGAAUGGGAAGAGGCGAAGUAGUAUAGCAUCUCUGGGGACUCUUGAUAUGGUGAAUGUGCUGCAUAUCUCCAGGAAGUGUUGGAGAUGAGCACUAGCAUCCUCGUGUGCCUUCCCAUAGAACUGGUUGGAUUGCACCAUGUUGAUAAGUCCAGGCUUGAGCUCAAAGUUGCCAUCGAUCUCUACAGCAGGUCCAGUGCGGAUGUUGUCCGUAGUGGGAGCUGAGAACUCGCAGAUUGAUUUGUUCGCCAUGGCUUCGAACUCUCAAGACAAGUUCCGGUGAUCUUCUUGAUUGGAUGAAGCUUCUUGCUGAAGUGUUGAUGAUCUCUUCUUGAGCUUAGCUCUUGUUUUUCUGAAUAAGGCUUCGGGAUUGUCAACAAAAUUUCCUGGAAGAUGUCUUCUAUUCAUACAUUCCCCUGCAUAAGAUAAAAUAGAAAAAAUAUCGGGGUAAAACUGUAUGAGAGAAUUAAUAAGCUCAAUCAUAUUAGUGAUGCGAAUGAUACCUCAAAAUCCUUUAUUCAUUCCUGAUUAGUAAUCAACCUUCCCCGGCAACGGCGCUAAAAAUGCUUCUUGGGUAUUCUUAACAUCAUUACCAAAAGUAGACAGUUUUCUAAAUCUGAUAACGGUGCCAAAAAUGCCAAACCUAUCCCUCAUACCACUUAAGCCAAGUUGUCAUCCCCAGCAUGAUAUAAGAGACGCGGUAUUGAAAUAUGCAAUUGCUCUUCUAAAUAAAAAAUGAAUGGGAUCUGCAAACGCACAGAUUAAUACCGAUGUAGCAUUUUAACCGGGAAGUAUUCCAGGUAUCGUUAUUUAUAUUUUUACCACUGGGAAGGGAUUAGCAAUCAUCAAUAUUGAUUACAGAAUAGAAUAUGAGAUUGAGUAUCUAUCAUUGCAUAUAUAAUUGAGAACAUUGUGUCUAACUCUUUCAUACAGGGAUAAGUGUCACAUAAAAGAUAUAUGAAGUAAUGAAUAGUGACAAAGAUAAUUAAUCUGAUCAGCAUAACUAGCCACAUAAUAAAUAUGAUAAGCACCUUAAUUAGAUACUCUAGAAAGUCAUUAGCAUGGUAUUAGAACGAACUACAAGAAUACUUCCUAAGUUAUUCUUAACUAUAUAGUCUAGCAUUAUCAUAGUUAGUGCAAGCAUACUUAGCAAUCAUUGCGAGACAAGACUACGCCCAUGCAUAGUGAUAUUAGCAAGGUAAAUGAGAAACAUAGCAAUCACUCCCCUGUAAGAUAUUGCUCUACCAGCCCAAUACACGAGAGGGGGACUAUAUAAGAAUCAAUGAAGUUGUCACUAUCACGAACUACCCCACGAUCUGGCAUAUUGGGUACAAUCGCAGAUAAAUACGGUACAAGCACCACGCCAACACAAUAUUUGUCAUUUACCCAUGGAUCCGAUGGAUAAACGCUAUACGAUCCUAAGCAUGUAUAUAGAUCCAAUCUAACUAAGCCAAGUAUAUAACUAUGAUAAACUAAGAACAAUAUAAUCUUGAAUAUAAACAAGUAGAGCAAAGUCAUAAGAAAUAUAUUGAAGUAGAACAAAGUCAUAUUCACAAUAUUGAAGAACAAAGAUGAUUAGAAGAACAAUUAGAAGCACAAUUAGAGAAUUACCAAGAAUCCUCUUGAUAGAUCCGAAAACCAAUCGAAGUUUGACUCCUUCUAGUUCUAAUCCUAUGUAGCUAUGCUAAUCUAGAUAUCUAAUUGAUGUGGUGGCUCUAAUCUUGAUCAGAGGCUUCUUCUCCCUUGAAGAAUAAUGAAUUAGGGUUGAGAGGCUCUCUCCUCCAGGGGCCAGGGGGUCUGGUUUUAUAGUCCCUUCAAGUAUAUAUGGGCCGUUGGAUCAAACCGACAUUGAUUGAACGGUUAUCCUUGAUCCUUUAGGUCGGUGGAGAUCUCUCCCGAGAGAGAGUCCUGUUUGGACUCCAACAGGAGGCGGGCGCCCAGGGCAACUGGGCGGGCACCUAGUGCCUGGCCCCGUUCGGCCUCCGCUUCGUUCCCGUGGCUUUUGGAUUCUUCUAGAUGUAAGAUAAUUCGCGGCACGUUAAUAUCUCUAUGUAAUCCCGACGUGUGGGCCUUUCUUCCGUAUUUCCUGAUAACCCCUGCAGAAAUAGACAAACACCAAAACUCGUGGAAUUCUGUCAGAUAAAACCCUAAGUCUAGAUGUUGAUUUCAUUUGGAUCCUUUUCUUUGUUUAUUUGAUAAUUAAAUUUUAUAGUUAAGGACCAUCAACACUCUAAUAUGAAGGUAAGGGUUUUCGUCUUCCUUUCCCGAAAAAGAUAGGUUUUGAAUCAUGGCAAUCAACCUCAAACUUAACCUAUACUGGGAUGUUUGGAUAGGCUGUGAUGACUCCCAUGGUAAAAGGUCAGUUUCCAAAGGUGUUGCAAAUUGAUAGAUCGAUUUAGAAUCUUAGUUUUCCAUAAGGUAAGAGUUAAGAAAAUAAAGAAUAUAAAAAGAUAAGAAAAGAUAAAAGUAUGAAUACAAGCUAGUAGUAAGACUCAAGGUUAUCUCAGCAAACUGUCUUUCUCCCUGGCAACGGCGCCAGAAAUGCUUGUUGAUAUUUGGUAACGCAAUCAGGAAUUGAUCGUAAGCGCACGGAUAUCGGUGAGCACUUCACUCGGAAGGUUAUCCAGAGUAUCGUAUUUAUAUUUUUACCACUAGGAGAAAGUGUGCAUCUGACUAACCAAAUCUAUUACUACUAACCUUUAGGCUACAACCAUUAUGAUUUGAUGUGAGCGAUGUAUAGAGAAGACAACAACUAUACCCUCGUUCUAACCUUGGUAAGGAUGAUCUACUGCUCUAUUGGGGAGGCUUACGGAAUCUAGACACCACAGAGGAUAUUCGAUCCGCACCUUUAAACCCUAUCGAUCCUACUAACGGGAUUAUGGGCUACAAAGGUAGCUACGGAAAUGUCACGUUCCUCGCUACUACCACGAUCCGGCUAGACAGAGGAUAUCUAUGAGUAUCCUAGCCCAAACACCACGUUUACGCUAGAGAUGAUUACUCUAAACUCUAUGCGAAGAGAUCAAAGUAAACUCAUAAACUAAAGAACAAUAAAACAAAGAACUUACUAGAAUUUAGAAGUUGAAAUACUGAAGAAUCCUAGGAGCAAGCCUCGGGUUAGGAGACUUGAUCCUGUAGGUACAACCUCGGAGUAGACACCGACAGGCCAGGCUUCCUCUGAUCUACACCUCCACUCUAUCUCUCUCAAUCUAGAAGAACUAAGUCUAAUCUCACAUUGGAUGCUAAGCCCUAUGACGUUGGAACCCUAAGGAACCUCUCUCUGAAUCCUCUCUGGAAAAUAUGCCAAUGAAUAAUGGAGAUUGCCCCCUCCAGGGGCCAGGGGUCCUGCUUAUAUAGCCCCCUCAAGUGAAUCUGGGCCGUCGGAUCAAACCGACCUUAAUCGAACAGUUUUCCUUAAUCCUUAGAGGCUGUGGAGCAUAAUCCGCAUGAUGGAGCCUGAUUGGCUGCCUGGCUAGGGUGGGCGCCCAGGGGGGUAGGGCGGGUGCCCUGCCUGUGGGCCCGCUCGGCCUCCUGCUCACUCGUGUUGCUUCUAGACUCUUCUAGAUCGAGGAAAAUUGGCGCACAAGUUAAUAUCUCUAUGUAAACCCGACGUGUGGGCCUUUCCUCUAUAUUUCCUGAUAACCCCCUGCAGAAAUAGAUAAACAGCAAAACUCAUGGAAUUCUGUCAGAUCAAACCCUAAUUCUAGGUGUUGCUUGCAUAUAGGUCCUUUUCCUUAUUCAUUUGAUGAUUAAAAUUGAUACUUAAGAACCGUCAACACCCACCGCUCGUCGGCAACCACAUGGCGUGUGCCCCACGGAGGGAGAGUGUAGACAUGCUGGGCCAAAAAAGGGGAGGACGACCCCAAUGCCUCUCCCUCCAUUUUUUUAAAUUUUCUUUUUCUAACUCUUUUUAAAUACAUUUUUGAGCAUUUUGCAGAUAGUUUUAAAAGUUGGACCAAAAAUAAAAGUUGUUCCAAAAUAAAUUCUCUAGAACUUUCUUUAAAGUGUAAUUCAAGAUUCCAAUUGGAUUUUAAGCUGUAGAUUUAAACUUAAUUCUAGGUUUGAAUAAAACCUUUUUAUUAAUUUGAAUUUGAAUCCUUUUUCAACGGAACUUGCUCCAAAAAUAACAUUUUGAAAGUUUUCUAAAUUCACUUAGACACUAAAUGAUCACAAGCAAGCAUCAUAAACAAGAUUAAAACCAUAGCACCACUAUCAUAGCAAUUUAAAUUAAUUCUUAAGUAACACAUGAAAUAAUCAUCAAGUUGUUAAAUGUUAUGCAUGAGAUGGUGCUUGAAGCUCAAACUAAGAUGUUUAUGUUAAGUUGAUGAAGCCCUAAUGCAUACUUAACACUACGGGUGUUAUAGCCCCUAUUCUCUGGCAAAAGUUUUUAAAAUUUCAAAAGAAAGAUAAGUUUUCGAGGAGCAAAGUAGAAUUAGGUUAGCCACCAUAUAUACCAUAUAUUCAUGCACAUGCACAUCUUGAUUUGAUUUAUGACUUAACUCUCUUUGGAUCCAUUGUUUGACUUUAUAAUAUAUGAUUUGCUUGUAGGCUCUAGCUUUCUCCCUACCUAUGAACUCCACAUAAAGCCCUAGUAAUAGAAAAAGAAAAGGUAUAACAUCUUUAUUGCCUUGGUGAGGAUAAACAAAUAUCACAUAUAUUGAGACACUUGAGAGUGUUAUACAAUAGACUCUGUAAGUUUUAUUUUUUAAAACUUAUAAAAACUCCAAAACUGUAGUGAAACAAAGAACUUGACAUAGUGCUUGACUUGAUUGUUCUAUCUUUCAAUUGCUCAAGACCUAAGUGAAAGUUGAAAAGUCGUUGAUAGUAAUAUGAGUAAGUUUGAAAGUUAGAGCAGUUUUGUCUAAUAUAGAGGAGAAUUUUGUUUGAAAGUAUGUGUACUUUUUAGGUGUGAAAGCAUUGAAGCAACUCCUGACCCAAGUUUGCUAAGUUUAAGUUUAAGUUUGCUAAGGAACUAGAAAAUGGUUAGCUUACGGGAGCUUGUUGACGGUAGUUAAUGUCAACAUUUAUAGUCAAAUAAACAUGCAUAGCGACAUAUUCGAAAUCACCAAUAAGGAUUUAGGUACACCCUAGUCUUAAGCAUGAAUUAAGGUCUCAUAAACUUGACAUAAGAAUUUGUGCAUAAGCAUUAAGCAUUAUCAUGUCAUGGCAUUUCAUGUUGAUUGAGUAUUGUUUCAUGUGUAUAAUUUUAAGUGUUUAAAAGAAUUGUUAAAUAAGCAUGUUAUGCCUAAAAAUAGUUGUGAUGAUUGAUUAAGGUUUUUGAAUGCUUCAAAUAAUUUUAGAAACUAGAACUAAGUUCAGGGUUAAAAAUAGUUGUGAUGAUUGAUAAAGAUUUUUUAAUGCCUAAAUUUUUGGAGCAAUUGGUUUGAAAAGGGGAUUUAAAUUCAAAUUUUAUAAAAGGUUUAUUUCAAAACCUAGAAAUAGUUCAAGGUUGUAAUUCAAAACCUAUUGAGAAUUUUGAGUUGCACCUUAAAGCAAAGUUGUAGAGAAUUUAAUUUUGAACAACUUUUAUUUUUAGGUUAACUCCUGAAAUUGUCUAGAAAAUACUCUAAAUUCCAUUUGAAAUUAAUUUAAAAAAGAAAUUCAAAAAAUAUAUAGAAAAGGGCCGCUUUGUGAAGUGGGUCGAGGGCUUCACUUCUCGGCCCACCCCGCUCCCCACAUCCCGCAUGAGCGGCGCCUGGUGCUGGCAGGCCACACCCGUCGUGUGGCCGCCAUGCGUGCUAGCGAGCACACCGCGUCAACAACGGUUGGCCAGUGACCUAGACGGUGCACACACUCACCUCGCCUCCCUCUCCGCAUUAACCUGUGCUUGCCCUCGCUCUCCAUAGCCAUGCCAUUCUACCAUCGUGAGCUCCACUGCUCACCGCUACCUCCCACUCUUGCUCUCACAUGACGACGACGCCACCUCGAGCUCUGUCUUGACCUCCUGCGUCGCGUGUGCACGCUCUACCGUCAAGAUAAGCACUGUAGAGGCUGGGAUUACCUCGCUAGAGUUGCAAGGGCUUACUGGAGUCUUUGGGUCCCAUGGCAGACUCUCGUAUCCCCCUCUCCUUCUCGACAUUUGCAUGUGUUAGCUUCGCCUCAUCACCAUGAACCUCUCCCGCUCCUCUGCACGCGCUGUCGUGGGCGGAGAUGGCUGGUCGCCAAAGAGCAAUGCCGCCGCUCGACCAUUCGUGGCGAGGAGCUCGCUUCUGAGCUCCUCCGGCCACCUCGAGGGCACCAAUUGGUGCGCCUCACCAUGAAGAGCACGUUGGUGCCAACCCCAUGGCCGGGGACUUCAUCGGCGGUGAUCUCCACUCGCCAGAGCUCUCCUUUCUCUAUACCACUGAUGGGUGGGGCCAAAGACCCACUUGUCUGCCUCCAUGUGUGUCUGCAUGUUGUUGACAGUUGUUAACCAUCAAAAUUAUAUGUCAACUAAAGAGAAGAAAAGGGAUAAAAACUGAACAUCACCAUAGACUUAGAGUUUUUACUUACAAUUUCCAUGAGUUUUGGGAAUGUCUGUUUUUGUAGGGGUUAUCGGAAUAAGAACAAAAGGAGGUCCACAUGUUGGAUUUUCAUAGUGAGAAGACCCGAACGUCAACUCCAGAAGACUCUAGAAGACUCAAGAAGGCGUGCCCUAAAACCUGGGGCCCACCUACCAUAGGGCAGGGGCGGGCACCUAGGGGGGCAGGGGUGGCCGCCCGAAGACCUUGGCCAAUCACAGCCAGUCUUAUGGAUCCUGCCUCCACCGACUUUAAGGAUUAAUCUUAAGGCAUGUUUAAGUCGGUUUGAUCUAAGGGCUAUGGUGCUUCCUAAGGGGCUAUAAAUACAAGCCUACCUCCCUGUAAUCAAGCUCAGAAUUGAGAGAGAAAAACAUAAUUAUAUUUUUAUUCUCAUCUGAGAAUUAGAGGGAGCCAUUAGAGCUAGGGAUAGAGAUAGAUUAGCUACUCCUAAUAUUCAUCUUCUACAUAUGAUUAAAUUAGAUAGAGGAAGAGUCGGGCGCCUGUGCUCAGAAUUUCUAGAUCUUCAUCAUUAGAGAUUGGUAUUAUCUUUUAUCUCUCUUUUGACUUUAUUCUAAAUAUCAUUAUGUUUCUAUUUUUUAUGUUCCUAGUUUAUUCUAGUUCUACAUUUGAUAUGGUUAUGAUUGAUAAUGAGUUUAUGUAUAUGUUUGCAAAGCGCUUAGCCCUCUUCACAGGAGAGUUAGGUGAUAGAUGUCAUGUAAGCAUGGUGCUUAGAUGUCGUUUAUCUGCAAUUACACCCUAUUGGCCGGGUUGCGUGGUAGAUCACAUAAGUGACAGUUCCGUUGAGUCCUUUGUAUUCCAUCCCCCGUUGGUAGGACAGGUAGAACCACAGUUGCGUAGGAGAUCCAACUUUGUCUUGGCUUUUUAUAGCAAUGUUCCUUAUACAUAAAUGAAGAGUCUUUUGUGCUAUAUAUGAUAGUGUAGCAUUAGAGUAGAUUAAUGACUUGAUAAAUUAGAACUACAUAGGACUUUCUAUCUCUUGAACUAAUCAGACGUCUGCCUAAUAUUAAGUUGAGUAGUCUAAAUCUAGUCUCUAUAUUCCCUGGGCUUCUAUAUUUUAUAUGUCAUAUAUCUAUGGUUUACCCUCUUGCCAAGUAUGUGACUAUGCAACCCAAUCACUCAUAAGUAGCCAUGUUUUGCAAGUUGAUCUCAUUGUUAAGUCCUUAAUUCUUUCCCUUGAGCUAAAUAUAAAUAAGAUACCUGGAAUACUUCCUGGUGAAGUGCUACAAUGGUAUUUAAUCUGUACGCUUGUGGAUCUUAUAUUUAUUUUAUUAGUAGACACUUUUUAUACCACACUUCUGGCGCCAUGCUAGGGAUGACAACUUAGCUUAAGUGGUGUUAGAAGUGUCAAUAAGCAUUUCUGGCACCGUUGCCGGGAAAGGAAUAAACUUUUAGAGAAAAAUUACCUAAACAGAUACUUAAUAAAUGAGUAGGUAGCUUGCUAGUCACCUCUACUUGGCAGGUUUACCCCUAUUUGUUUUUUCUGUGUUUAUAUUUUUAUACAGGGUAAUAGCAGGAUUAAAUCUAAUUCACUCAAUUCUUUAUCUGAAUUGGAUCAAUCAAGAAGGAAGCUCAUCACUAGUAUUUGAAGCGAUGGCUGAAAAGACCUUGUGGGAGUUCUCUGCUCUAACAGUGGAGAACAUCCGCAAUGGUCAAGUACAGAGAAUAGAAAAUCUGGAGUUUGAGCUCAAGCCAAGCCUCAUCAACAUGGUGGAAGCUAUCCAAUAUAGUGGAAAGGCGAAUGAAGACGCAAGUACACAUCUGUAGGACUUCAUGGAGAUUGGAAACACCAUCGUCAUAGAAAGAGUUAAUCAAUAUAUCAUACUACUUCGCCUCUUUCCAUUUUCACUAGUGGGAAGAGUGAAGCAAUGGUUCUAUGCCAACAAAGAAGACAUCAACACAUGGGUGAAGUGUUCCAAGGCCUUUCUAGCAAAAUUCUUCCCAAUAGGCAAGACAAACGCUUUAAGAGGAAAGAUUACCAACUUCCAACAGCAGAAGACAGAAACCAUUUCAGAAGCAUGUGAGCAUUUGCAAGGAUACAUUCAAGAUUGUCCUCAUUAUGGAAUGGAAGAAUGGUUACUCAUGCAAGGCUUUUAUCAUGGAUUAAAUCAAAAGACACAUGAGCACCUAGAUGCCACCGCUAAAGGAUCAUUCUUAUCACUCACUCUUGGGAAAGCUAAGGAGCUUAUGGAGAAGAUAUCAGAAAAUCAAAGCUGGUCCCAAGACAAAGGUGAAGAAGCAAUUGAAGAAGUAAAUGCACUGUCCACCAAGAUGGAUGAAUUGCUCCACUAGCUAGACCAGAGGGCCAAGUACAAGGAAGACCAAAGAGCGAUUGAAGCAAUAUCUAAAUCAAAUUCAAGUUCCGCCGUCAAGAAAGUUCCACAUCAACCAAAUUGGAGACAACAUCAAAAUAGCCAAGGUAUGAACUCAGGUAAUUUUACAAAGCAACCUUCUUUAAGAGAGAUAAUUAUGCAGCAAUCUAAAAUCAAUCUAGACAUUAAAGCUAGGCUUGCUAAUAAUGAUAAAACCUUGGAAGAUAUAAAUGUUAAUAUGGAUAGUUUCACAUCCGCCAUUAAUGACCAACUUGAGUAUAAUAAAAAGAUAGAAGGAAAAAUAGCACAGUUGGCUGCUCUGUUGCCUAUUGCCACUAACCCUGAUCAGGUAAAGAAUAUCACUACAAGGAGAGGGAUUUCUACCAAAGAUCCUCCCUACCUAGAAGGUACCAAAAGACUAGUGGUAAUACCAUCAACAUUACCAACAAUGGUGGAGAAUGAGAACAACAUUCCUAAAGACAUACUACCAGAACCGGUCCAAGACCACGAGAUGAGACAAGAUUUCCAAUACACCAAUUAUCUACCAUUUCCUUGUCGAAAUAGAAGACCACAACAAGUAGAUGAUCAGUUUGGUAAGUUCAUGGAGGUACUUCAAAAACUAUAUAUCAAUAUACCUCUGCUAGAUGCCAUACAUGUCCCUACAUAUGCCAAGUACAUCAGAGACAUUCUUAAUAAGAAGAGACCACUACCAUCCACUGAAGUAAUCAAGCUUAGAGAAGAGUGUAGUGCGGCCAUCCUCAAUAAGUUACCAGAAAAGAAAAAAGAUUCAGGAUGUCCGACCAUCAAAUGUACAAUUGGAGAUCAACAUUUUAACCAUGCACUUUGUGACCUUGGAGCAAGUGUCAGUGUGAUGCCCGCUUCUGUCUACUACAAGCUUAAUCACACCACACUUGAGCCAACAUCAAUGUGUCUUCAGCUGGUCGAUCAAUCAGUCCGAUAUCCAUUGGGCAUCGCCGAAGAUAUUCUAGUCAAGAUAAGAGACUUCUUCAUGCCAGUAGAUUUUGUGGAUAUGCAUCCAGACUCAAGAAUGUCACUCAUUCUCGGGAGACCAUUCUUGAGCACUGCCAAUGCACACAUUGAUGUCGGGAAAGGAUCUAUCAAAUUCACCAUCAACGGUCAAGAAGAGCAGUUCACAUUCAAGCCAAAAUAAGAGCUCAACUCUUCUAUGAAGAUGGUAGAUCAAGACAAGCUAGAAGAAUUACUAGAGUCACCCACUCUGGAACCAUCAGCGGAAUAAAUAAUUUGGAAGGUCCAGCUCGAAGGACACUAAACUUCGAACCAUCACCGGAAGGUAACUUGGUAUUUACCCCUACGUAUUUUUUAUAAAUAAUUUUUUUGGUGUGUAACAACCUAUUAAAAAUAUUUAUUGUGGUGGCAUAAAAAGAUUAAUUUAGUUUACAUAUUUAUUCUUAGCUUAUUCUCAUUUUUAAUUCCUGCAUUAUAUUUAUAUUUCUUACAUGGGGGGUCCACCACCAUGGGUCCCACAUGUCAUAGACCUCACCUAACAUACAUCAUAUCACCACCUACUCUCCUCCACUCACCCUCCUCUUUUCCACUGACUAAAUCCACCAAAUGUCCACUCACUUUGUUUAGGAUUGAAGCAAAGUUUUUAGCCACAAAAUUUGAGUGGAGAAGCUGCCACCACAUGGGCGGCCGCCCCACCUCCUAUGGGUGCCCGCCUAGCCAUCUCCUCCUUUAUAAAAGGGCUUCUUCCCUUCACUUCUUCACACCACACACAAGCCAUAUCAGUAGACAAACUUUGAGCUCUCUGCCUCCAAUAGUCUAGAGAGAGUUUGUGAGAGAAGGAGAGAUUAGAAAGAGUAGAAAAGAGGAUAGAAAUUUGGGAUUAAGAAAUCUAAAAUCUUUGAGUAGGGAUUAAGAAAUCUAAAAUCAAUGGGAGGUUCUUUUAAAAUUCAAACUAGCAACUAGACUUAAUCUUUAAAGAACGACUGACCUAUGGACGGCUGACCACUAACCUUUGACUAACCUCUUGCACUAGUGUUGUUUUUGUCUGUAAGCAUUUGUUGCAGGAUGAAGAGCUAGGCAAAGGGAAUCGCCAACAAGGUCUUAGGAAUGACCACGAGGAGCUCAUCCCGCUACGCCUCAUCAAGGGGUAGCUCCAACAUGAGCACCGAUUCUCCCACCGACUCUCAGCCACCAUCUUUCUCUACUGCACAAAGGGUUCUCCUCACGGCAACUCACCUUGCCUUGAUGGAUGCAAGAGAAAAGAACAUCUAAGAUAAAUUGAAGAGCAGGAACUUCAUCCACACAAUGGUCCUGGAUGACGUGUUCCUCUGUGAAACAGGUAUGGCAACUAAACUUGACACUAUUUUCUAGUUUGUUGGUUGGAGUUCUUUUGCAUCUAUCACCGAGUUAGGGUCAAAGCCUUUAACCAAAGAAUUUCUAUGCACCCUUCAACUCACCUAGACAGGAGUUUAUUUUAGAUUGUUUACUCAAGAGUUCUAUUUAACAUGGAGAGUUCUUAGCGAUCUUUUAGGCUUUCCUUCAAAUGCAUGAUUAGAUUUAACAGAAGCCUUAAAAGAUUUUGACACCCAUAAAUUCUGGGUGGAAAUUUCCAAGGAACCUUUCUUCCAUGGCAAUUGUACUCGGGACAUAGAGCACCCUACACUUAGGUUCUUGCAUAAGUGGUUAGGUGUAGCUUUCUUCCCUCGAGAUGAUGCUAGUAAAAUUAGAGCUAUAGAUUUGCAAUUAAUUUAUGAAGCAGUAAAGAAAAUAAGGGUGUCGCCUGUCCAUGCUUUAGUAGAUCAUUGGUUAAGCAUUCCUGAAGUAGGAGAUGUAGCAAUUUGCUCCAUUGUUACUCGUUUAGGUGUUAAGCUAAAGUUACUUGAAGGUUCCUCUUUGGAUUUUAUUGAUGCACAUAGACAAAUUUAUGGAUACAAACAUUUUAAUCAUGCGCACCUUGUAAAGAACAUAAAAGGGGAUCUAUAUAUGAAAUAUGGGGACGCCAAGCUCCGGUUACCUAACCCAAAGAUGGCAUUGUAUUCUGUCCAAACUCUGUACAUUGAAUUUCAGGCACGACCAGUGAAUAGGAGAGGAGCUCAGGGGUAGACUUCUAAGAGGGCACCUCAGAGGACAGCCUUUGAGAGAUUUGCUCAUCAACACGAGCCAGUUUGGCUCGGUGCUGACCCCACUCACGAAGCACCGGCGCACACAGCUAUGAUGAAGGGCAGGCACGCCAGCGCCGCACAAUGAAUCCUAGGAUGUAUCCUCCGUUCCAUCCUACCUACCAUCCAUAUGGGUACUAUCCACCACCACCAUUCAUCCCCACAGGAGAAGGUCCCUCAAGUGAAGCUCCAAGGCAUUCAUUCAGCACCUAUGGAGAAAGGACAGAAGACGAGGAACAAGGCUUUGAGCAAGGACGAAGGUGUGGUGCUUUUGGUUUCUUCUAUACCCAGCAACAUUACAAUGAACAAAUGGCAUUCCAAAACUACGUCUACACCUCUCUUGCUAACAAUGAGUAGAGUUGGAAUGACCAGCGUCAAUGGAACCAAACCACCACUCAGACGUUGGCCUCUGUUCAAGAAGGGCAAGACCAAGCUAACAUCACUCUAAGUGACAUCUUCGCACUCCUCCAGAUCCCGAAAGAAGACUAGCUUGGGGGAGGACCCCCAUUAUCAAGGUAAGUUUUCUUUUUCCUUUGUUUCGAUUUAUUUCCUUUCUCUUUAUUAGUUAUAAAUUUAAUUUGUUGUUUAAUUUGUUUAAGUUUGAGUUUGCUUAAAAAUGAAAACCAAAUAAAAAGAGUGUGUAAUAUAUGUAUGCUUUAUUAAGUUUGCUAUAAAUAAAAUGUGUACAAAUGAAGAAGGCAUGAUGGAAAUGAUGAAUAGUUGCUCUGCCUUAAUUCUUUUCAAGUACCUAGUUUUAGAUUUGAAUUCUCCCAAGGAUUGGAUAAACUAUUAGACAACUAAAUUUACUCUACUAUUUAAACCUAUGGGAGCAUAUGCUUAAACUAAGUCUAGGUAGUUGAUGGAUAUGAUAUGAUAUAGUCUGAGCUGCUAUUUAUCAUGUUCCUAGUGCUACUAAAUUCUGGAGAUUUAUUUUAUGAAAAUUAAAAUACUUCAUGAUGAGUUCUUUGUAUGAUAGAGAGUAUAAAAUUCCUACCACAACCAUAUUUAUUUAGAAUAGGAAGCCUCCACAUAUAUGUAGGGCUUUGUGUUUGCUCGAGCUGUGUGACCCUUAGGAACUCAUCAUGUGACUAAUCCUGGUAUCACGUACACUCAUGUUCACCUUUUGCUGCUUCUACUCUAGAAGUACGCACCACAUACAUAUAUUCCAUAUUCACCUAUCCAAAAAUGUUCCACUCUUACACUGAGAGUGAACACUAAAAGUAUUUCUCUUGCUUAUUUGCUAGCCAAUUAUCUUAAGUUCAAUGCUCCAAGUAUUAUCUCUUAUUUCUCUACAAAAUAUUAUUUACAAAAAAAAUUGAUGGGCUGCAAGAAAAUUAAUGGACAAAAGUAACAUGAAAGACCCCUAGCUUUAUGGCCACACGAUGUUCCUUGGUGCUUUCACUUGACUAUUUUCAUAAAAACUACUACGCCUAAGGCUAAAUAUUUGUGAAAAUUUGAGGGUUUGAGAGAGGUCACUCAUACCAGUUUCAACUGGUGUUUAUUUGAGUCUUCUUGAAGUUGGAACUUGGUUGGGUAAAAGUCGGACGAAGUUCUAAGUUGAAAAGGUUAGAGGUGCACCGGACGAUGCACCGGACGCUCCUGUAGUGCGUCCGGUGUGGUGAGUCUGCUGGACAGCACUCACCGGACGCUGGAACAGUGUCCUCAUAGCGUCCGGUGACGUGCGUCCGGUGUUCUGCCAGGCCUGCCCUAAGGCACCGGACGCUAAGUCCAGCGUCCGGUGGCCAUCGUUUGGUGGAUGGGUUAUUUGCGGAACUCUCUGAGUUUAAGACCGAUGGUCACCGGACGCGUCCGAUGCCACUUUAAGACCGUCCGGUGACCCCGCGGUCAGUGGAUAUAACCCCCGAGACCCGCUCUGUUCGGCAGUUCUUUUUCUUCUCUCCCCGCGACCUCGCCCAGCAGAAGCCAGCGCCCCCAUGCCCUAAUUCGUCGCCGCCGCUGUGUUCUCCGAGUUUCCUCCGGCAAAAGUUGUUUUUCCCCGUGCCAAGAUCUUCCCCAAGGGUUCCUCCAUCCUCUCCUCGUGUAGGGGCCUUCUUCUCGCGUGAAGGUUAGGGUUUGGGGUGAGUUGGUUGAACCCUGCCCUCAAGGUGUUCGAUUCAAUGCCUAAACGAAGUUAGAUGUUUUCGACAAUGUUCCCCUUUGUUUAUCCUUCAUAGCACCUUGAGGAGUCGAUUCGUGUUCUCCGGUGGAUUGCGAUCGAGAUCUUUCGUCCGGAACGCGUCUCGUCAUUGGAUUGUAUGUUGUUCGCACCCGUUCCUUAUCUAUUCUUGCGAUCUAUAGGUUUUUCUCAUCUCUAGUUAUUAUGUUUGCUUAUGUAUACCCUAUCUUUUCUAUCUCUUGCAGUGCGUUGGUCUCUUUUGGUAGUUUGAUAGUUGCAGUUGAACUCAGGGCCAAGCCCACGAGUACGGAUUGAGGCCAAGCCUCACGAGUGUCAGCUUGUUGGUUGUCAGUAGUUUCUCUGUUUAGGUUCUUGCAAUGGCACGUUGCAAGAACGUCGGUGGUCCGACAGCCGCAGGUGGUGCCUCUCCAGGAGGUGAUGGUGGAGGUGAUCCUCCCCAUCGCUUGUCAGCCGUAGAGAAGGGCAAAGGCAAGAAGCUGGCCACCAAGAAGAGGAAGGCCAGUGACAGAGAGGCAGAGGUGGCCGAGGCAGUGGCAGCAGCAGCUGAGGUAGCAGAGAGGGGUGGACGGUCAGGUGCCCUAAGGAUCGGGGCCGAUCUCACGCCAUAGCAGAGGCAUGCAGUUCUUCAGGUUGAGGCGCGACACAGGACUCCACCUAGCACCAUCAUGCUAGGGGGUCAGCGUGUUCGCAUUGACGUCACUGAGCCAGCACAGGAGGAGACAGAGGUAGAGGCCCAGGCAGAGGGCCCUACUGAGGCUCAGCAGGAGGAGCAGCCCCUCAGGAGGUCGACUCGCACUCAUACUCAGGUCGUCUCUAGGACUGGUACACAGGGUCAGUCCACCUCCUCUGCUCGCUCCACUCCAGCACGUGGCACUCUAGCACCAUGUCCGGCUCCAGUCAGGAUUCAUAAGGACUAUACCCAGGCCUUCGCUCGAGAGAUCUAGGAGAUGAGAUUUGCUCUUUUUCCUACUUGGUUUCCAGCUACCUGGGAUCAGAGGGCCAGUGCCAGAUUUUACACAAUUGUUCAGGAGGAUAUGUAUGAGGCAUUUGUUCAUUCGGAGACUCAGUUCAGGGAGCACAGGGUGCUUGACCUUGAGGUGCUUGGGAACAUGGUCGGUGCAGAUAUCAGACAUUAUUUUACCUACCUGACCGGUCUCCCAGGCUUGCUUGCUUUACCAGGUACCUAUUGUGAGGAGUGGGUACGGGAGUUCUAUGCCUCAGUGUGGGUUGCUCCAGACCAUAGCUACAUCCACUAUGCACUGGCAGGCACAGACUAUAGUGUGACACCUCAGAGGGCCAGAGAGGUUCUGGAUUGACUGCUUCUGCUACUAGGAUUCAUUAGCUGUGCUAUGGGAACUUUGAGCCCCCUCGACGACCUCACGGUGGUGCUCUACCACCGGUUGACUUCGUGGCUCCCUGUUUCCAUCAGCCCUUUGGAGAGGGCUCCAGCAAGAUAGUGGGCGAUUUGACACGCCCAGCAAGGAUUCUUGACUUUGUGUUAAGGAAGACUUUCCCAGGAUAGGCUACAGAGAUGGCUUCACCAGGAUCCAGCAGUGGUUGGUCGCUCAUCUAAUUGCUCAGCAGCCGUUUGAUUUGUGGGACUUAGAAGUGUCAGAGAUUGAGGACACUAUAGCAGAGAGCUUCAGGGGUCGUCGUCAGUUGUUGUACGCAUAUUGGAUCACUCUUCUUAUUCUUCGUGCUAGGCUUGAGCCUCUGCCAGCUCACCUUCAGAGAGAGCUAAGAGACUCUGACACAGUGUUCCCCCACUACAACCCCCGAUAGAUGCUGAGAGCGCAUUAUGACCUCAGAGCUCCACCACCUCCUCCAGCACCACGUGGCCAGGUGCCACCACCUUCACCAAGGGCUACCCAUAGUUUAGGGGCAGUCCCAGAGACAGAGUAGGAGCAGGAUAUAGCCAUCGGGGUAGUUGUAGACGCUGAGGCCGAGGAGGAGUUCGACUUUGCUUCAGAUAGCUCAGACAAUGACUAUUGUCUCCCUAUUCUAGAUCUUCCUCUGAGGCCGCACGACCAUGAGGCAGGAGGUUCUUCGAGUGCUACGAACCUAGCUCUGCUUGCUAUUUUAGAGGGGAUGAGAGCCUGUAAUAGAACCGACCAAAUUAUAAGAGAUUAAGCCUGAUAGUGACCAUUUGCACAGUCAAACUACCGAGCUUAAGCCCAUAUAAUCCCGGUAGUCUGUGAAAUCUCGAAGGAUUUCAAACCACAACUCGUACAUACAGCCAAGAUCGUAAUAAGUUCAGCGGUCACCAUUCACAAUUACAUCCAGUUCACAACAUUCAUCAAAUACAUCGGAGUACUUAAAGUUAUUACAAACCAAGUUCUCAAGUAGCGGAAGCUUCAUAGUUCGAAAGUAACACACACAUGUUUAGUUUGAUACAGUGCCAUAGUUCGGUCAUUCCCACAAAAGCAAAAGGGAAGGUAGAGUGACCAUCGCCCUUGGUCUAGUCAUCGCCAUUGCUGGGUACAAGCAGAGGAUGCAAUGACUAUAGUACAUUUGACCAUCUGCAAAACAACAUGGGAAAUAGAACCCUGAGUACCAGAAUGUACUCAGCUAGACUUACCUGUCAUAAACCAAAAAUAAAGACUCUUCAAGGAUCAUGAAGGCUGUAUGGUGGGGUAGCUGAGACUUUUUGCAUAAAAGCAUUAUUCCACUAAAACAUAGCCUAGAGACCAUUCUUCUUUUAAUUAGCUCAAGUUUGAUCAUAUCAUUACCUAUUAUCUAGGUUUGCACCUGUACUAUUGCAAACAAGUGUAGUAAUAUGAUAGUACCUCAUCAUAGCAUUCAUAAAUCAUUUAUCAACGUAACCCAAGUGUUCCAUAGUCCUUACUACGAGGACAAGGCUCAUGUCAAGUGCUCACUAUCCAGGAGCGAUGGCGAUUCGAAUCGAUUUCUGACCAGCUGGCGAGUUAUUCCCCACACAAACCACACUCACUGAUCAAGUGAGCUACAGAUCACCGUGUUACACUAUCCAGGACCAAAUCGUGGGUUCGGCAGGCACCGCCAGUACCCGAGGACCGUUCCGACGACCGAGGUAUCCAAGGUAUACCAAGGUUGCACGCCGCGCCCUCGUCGUUCUCCUCAACCAUCACCAAUACAGCACAUGGCGGCUUGACUCCCGGCUCGGAUAGUGUUCAGGCUUCGCGGUCGGAACGACUUAUCCUUCCAGCUAAGUGUUGGGCAUGCGUUCAACAUGACAAGAGGGCCGUCAACGAUCGGUCCUUAAUCAACACAGGCAGGGGCACUACGGUCAUCCCCACCAUAAGACCCUGCCCGGUCUCAAGUUCAUUCCCACACUUGUUUACUUUUCCUCAAAGCAUUAUCAGCUAGUCAAACAGGUGUCCACCUAUAUCUCGCAGGUGACAAGGAAUCACCCGACUUCUACCGGACUAAGCAAGCUAAGCAUGGACUCCGUGCCUAUCUACAUAGGACAAGGUAGAUAAACAAGUGGUAAUAUCAAGGAGUACUUAUGCAUCAACGGUAUCAAGCAAUUCCUAUCACUUAAAUGCAACAUAGUAGAACAACCAUAAUAUAUCAUUUAAGUUAGCGAGAAUAGGGAGACUUAGAAUGCUCCGGGGCUUGCCUUUCUCAAACGUGCUCGGCUUGUGAUCCGGGCACUCCUGCAACUCUUCUCCGGGCUCUGGUCCUCCAAGAAGUUCCUGCUCCUGGGUCUCCUCCUGCUCCUCGGGUCCCACCUUGUUCUCCUACGAGCCUGUAUGAUGCAGGUGUGCUCAUGAGUGGAGUGCGAGAUGCCCGGGUGCAAUGCUUAUACAAGUGGAUACCAGAUGACCAUGACAUGAUGCAUAGAUGAUAUAAGUGGUCACUUUUACAAGGUAGUCAACAUCAUCCAAGAACAAGUAAUCGAACUAAGCAUCUAUUGCAUUCUCUUCUACAAGUUGUCUUCAUGGUUAACCAACAAGCUAACAUGAUGCUUCAAAGAUAUACCAAACAAUCUUUUAUUCUAUCUGAUUCAUACACGAAAAUUCUUAUUUUAUUUACUCACUUUUGGACCUACAAAAGUAGCAUAUAUCUCUGUUUAACAAUAAAUUCUACAAAAAUUACAGUAGACUACUAGUCAAUCAUAAAGUCUACCAUAAUUUUUUUCAUAAUAUUUGGACAUUUAUUUUGGGAUACAAAAAUUACAAGAUUAAUCUAUAUAAUUAAGUAUAAUUACCCUACUGUUGUGUAAGUGUCAAACAUCAGAUUUCAUAUUUUUAUAAUGUACUUAUUAUCAUAAGAAACACCCACAAACAGCAAAUUUUUAGAUUAAUUGCAUGAUCCAAUUAUUUAUUAAAAAUCGUAAACCACUGCCAUGCAAGCAUUUAAAUCACCAUAAAUUAAUUCAUACAGCAAAUAAUGUGUAACAUAAUUUUCCCAGAGACUAAUCAUCCAUGCAAAGCCAGCAAAACAAGUUUCAUAUUUUUCUGAGCUAUAUUUUAAUUACUAUGCAUUUUCCAAAUUUCAGCAAAAACAUGGAUUAAAUAUAUUUGUACAGAAAAGUUGUUCAAACAUGACAUGCAACCACACCAAACUGUAGAUCUGGAAUUAUAGAACACAUCAAAAUUUAUUUCAUCAAUUUUGGAGCUAUAUAUCUCAAGAUAUGGAUUUUAUAUCAUUUAAACUAUUUUCUGGAAAAUAUUUUCUGAAAAACCAAUUCAAAUCCACCCCCGGGACCAGCUGGGUGCACCCGGUGCAGUGCACCCGCGGCCACUGACGAGCGGACCCGUCUGCCAGCCGGGCCCGCUAGCCAGAACACAGAGAGAGGGGGAAGGUCCCCGUCGACGGCUUGCCGCCGGUGACGCCUCCCGGCCGAAACCAAAGGUACCAACGCGUUCGUCUCCCUCUUGCGACUCGAUCCCACCCCACCACUUGCUCUAAGACCUAGCACAGCAAGCUGGCCACCGGCAAUGGCGGACCGGCGGCGCUGCCGCAGCGGUGCCGGCCACCACACUCCGGUAGAGCACGCUAGAGCGGCUUCUAGCGACUUGGGGAACCACGGCGACCACGGUGCGCGCACUAGCGAGGCAAGAGAGGGCCAAGAGAGGGAGAGCCAGGGAUACCGACGCCGCGGAGAGCUCCGGCGAGGCCGCGCAAUCUCCAGCGAGCGAUUCGGUCUCCUAGGAAGGCUAACCUGUGCGAAGAAGGCACAUCCGAGCACGUGGAGACAAAUGCGGAGCUCGGAGAGGUGGAAGGAUGCGCUAGGAGGCAACAAGGUGCCGGGAACAACGCGAAGGGAGCUUGGGGAGCUCCGAUGGUGGGCGGCGGUGCGGUGCACGUGGAGCGGAGGCGAGAGAGCGGGAGAGAGAGCGAGAGAGCGCGCACGGGUGGGAGGCGAGAAUGGCGAGUGCGCUAGCGCUGUCCACAGCGGAGGGGGAGGUCGUGGCGCCGGCGAGCCGCGCAUGCCGUCCACGCGGCGCCGUCGGCCUGACACGGUCGGGCGCGCGCGCGGCGCGGCCGUGUCCGAGCGCGGGGAGGGGGAGUGGACGCGGCGCAGGGAGGCCUGGGCUGGCUUCGCUGGCUGGGCCGGUUGGUUGGCGCCGGCCCUCCAGUGAACAGCCCCCUUUUCCUUUUUUUUAAAAAUUAUUUUCCCAAAAAGCUUAGAUGAAACUUUUGAAGCUUUUGCAAAACUUUUCAGGGGUUGGAGUAAAAAGAAGAAUCACUCCCCACAAAAUUCCCUACAACUUUGCUUUAAUAGGUGAAGUCAAAUUCCAAAUAGAAUUUGAAUCACAAAUUAAAACUUGUUCUAGGUUUUCAAUAAAUUCAUUGUAGAGAUUUUUGGUAUAAAUUUCAUUUCUCAAUUUCUAUAGCUCCAAAAAAUUUCACAAAAUUACUCUUAAAUCUUCUAACCCUUAUUUCAACCUAAUUUGGGCAAUUCAAGAAUUUAGAAGCAAGCAUAAUAUUUUUACCAUAUUUAAUUCACAUAAAAUAAAGCACAUAAAAUCACACUUGAAUGAAUGACAUGCUCAUGUGAUGCUAUGCUUGCUGAGAAUGCUUAUGAAUGAGUUUAUGAGACUAAGUGCAUGCUUAACACCUAGGGUGUUACAACCCUUCCCCCCUUAGAGAAAUCUCGUCCCGAGAUUUUGGGUUACUAACCAUUUCUUAUGAAAUUUUGGAUAAACUAUUUUUAGGUAAUCCUCGGUUUCCCAGGUGGCAUACCUAUCAUCAUGAUGACUCCACACCACCUUAUAUGUUUUGACAAAUAUGUUCCAGGUUACCGCUCCUUGGUAUCUACGAUACCCACUAGCUGCUCCUUAUAUUCUAAGUCUGCCUUUAGUUUGAUUCCUCGGGGUUCAAUCCUUUGCUCAGGCACCUUUAAACAUUUUCGUAGCUGCGACACAUAGAAAACUGGAAAGAUCGAGCUCAACUCCUCUGGUAACUGAAUCUUGUAGGCCACAGGGCCUUUUCUUUCUAAUAUCUGAUGCGGUCUCACAUAUCUGGGGGCAAGCUUGUUUCGAACUCGGAAACGCUGAACUUUCUUCAUUGGCAUAACCUUGAGGUAAACAUAGUCACCUACAUUGAACUCAAGUGGCCAUCUUCUCUUGUCGGCAUAGCUCUUCUGUCAUGAUUGUGCUGCUCUCAUGUGUUGUUGUAUAAUGUGCACCUUUUUCUCAGCCUCGUUUACGAAGUCGAUACCAUAGUAUCUCCUUUCACCAGGUUCGACCCAGUUCAACGGAGUCCUACACUUACGACCAUACAACGCUUCGAACGGGGCCAUCUUGAUACUCUCUUGAUAGCUAUUAUUGUACGAGAAUUCAGCCAAAGGUAACCAUGAUUCCCAUGGUCCCUUGGAUGAUAACACACAAGCCCUCAGCAUAUCUUCGAGUACUUGAUUGAGUCUUUCCAUUUGACCCGAGGUUUGUGGAUGAUACGCUGUGCUUCUUAUCAGACUAGUCCCCAAACUCUUAUGCAUUCGCUCCCAGAAAUGAGUGGUGAAUUGUGGUCCUCGGUCUGAUAUGAUGGUCUUGGGAAUGCCAUGCAACUUAACAAUCUCAGCUAGGUACAAAUCAACAUACUCGGGAGGUCUAUAACGAGUCUUAACAGGAAUGAAAUGAGCUGACUUGGUCAAUCGGUCUAUGAUUACCCAAAUCAAGUCAUUCCCCUUUCGUGUUGUCGGUAAACCUGUGAUAAAGUUCAUACUGACCUCUGCCCAUUUCCACUCUGGAACUGGCAACGGUUGCAACAGACCUGCAGGUUUCAUAUGUAUAGCCUUGACUCUGCAACAUGUGUCGCAACGGGCCCCAUACGCUGCUAUCUCUUUCUUCAUUUUGGUCCACCAAAAGUUAGACCUUAGGUCUUGAUACAUCUUGCUACUGCCAGGAUGAAUAGAAAGCUUGGAGAGAUGUGCUUCAUCCAUAAUGCGGUUCUUUAAUUCUCGAUUCUUCGGGACUACCAGCCGGUGCUGAAACCACAAUACCCCUUUUUCAUCAACUCGGAACUGAGUCUUCGAAUCGUCUUUGAUCUUCUCUUUGAUGUGGAAAAUACCCUUGUCUGUUUUAUGACCUUCAAUGACUUGACUUUCAAGUGAACAAUUGAGCUGUAUGUGACAUAAGACUUCAGGAUGCAUGAGAUUGAAACCAUCUUCAAACAACGGUUGAACAACUUGGUAGUGCGGUUUGCGACUCAAAGCGUCUGCUACCACAUUAGCCUUGCCCGGAUGAUAAUGGACCUCUAGAUCGUAAUCCUUGAUCAGCUCUAACCAUCUUCGUUGCCUCAUAUUCAGCUCGGACUGAGUGAAGAUGUAUUUCAGACUUUUAUGAUCUGUGUAGAUAUGACACUUGUUUCCCAGCAAAUAGUGCCUCCAGAUCUUCAACGCGUGCACUACUACUGCUAACUCAAGGUCGUGAGUCGGGUAGUUGACCUCAUGCUUUCUCAACUGUCAUGAAGCAUAAGCUAUAACUCUGCCGUCUUGCAUUAGCACACAUCCUAAACCACUUUUCGAUGCGUCGCAAAACACAUCAAAAGGCUUCUUGAUAUUGGGUUGUGCCAGAACGGGAGCGGUGGUCAGCAACUUUCGCAAGGUGCGGAAGGCUAGUUCACACCCUUCCAUCCAGACAAACUUAGGAUCCUUUUGCAGCAAGCUGGUCAUUGGCUUAGCAAUCUUGGAAAAGUCGGGUAUGAAACGAUGGUAAUACCCGGCUAGGCCAAGAAAGCUUCGAACUUCCGAGACAGAAGUUGGUGCCCUCCAGUCCAUGACUUCCUGUACCUUUGACGGAUCCACAACAAUCCCUUCUUCAGACAGAAUAUGCCCUAGGAAAGGAACUUUCUUCAGCCAGAACUCACACUUGCUGAACUUUGCAUACAACUGAUGCUCUCGCAGUCGUGUUAGCACGACUCUUAGAUGCUCGGCGUGAUCUUGUUCAUUCUCUGAAUAAACCAGAAUGUCAUCGAUGAACACCACCACAAACUUGUCUAACUUUGGCAUAAAGACAGAGUUCAUCAGAUACAUAAAGUAUGCAGGAGCAUUUGUCAACCCAAAGGACAUGACAAGAUACUCAUACAACCCAUAUCUGGUGGAAAAAGCAGUCGUCGGGAUAUCUUGCGGACGGAUCUUGAUUUGGUGAUACCCGGACCUCAAAUCUAUCUUAGAAAAUACUUUUGCCUUGGACAACUGAUCAAACAAAAUAUCAAUCCUUGGCAAUGGAUACUUAUUUUUGACUGUCACCGCAUUGAGUGGACGAUAGUCCACGCACAUGCGCAACGAUUGAUCCUUCUUUUUCACAAACAACGCCGGACAACCCCUUUCCAACGAACUUGGCCGGAUGAAUCCUUUAUCUGGCAACUCCUUUAGUUGAUUCUUCAAUUCAGCAAGCUCAUUAGGCGGCAUUCGGUACGGCCUUCUAGAUAUCGGUGCGGUACCUGGUAUCAACUCUAUUGCAAACUCUACUUCCCUAUAUGGGGGAAGUCCUGGCAAUUCCUUAGGAAAAGCAUCAGGAAACUCACACACCACUGGGAUCUAUGGCAGAGGAACCACGUGCGUAGCAGAAGAGAUGCUAGCAAAGUCAAAGCGAUGGGGCAGAGGUACUUGAAAAGAUCCACUGCCCUGGGGUUCUCUGAGAGAUAAUACCCUCUUCCCAGUAUCUAUGGCAGCAUCCCACUCUUUCAUCCAGUUCAUGCCCAUGAUAACAUCUAAAACUAACCCAGGCAUGACUAUCAGAUUAACAUGAAACACCCUGUUACUUAUAUCCAGGGUUGCCCCUCGAACCACUCUAUUUGUCAACACAUCUACCCCUGCUGAGCUGAUGCGAUAGCCAUAACCCAGAUCUGUAACUGCUUGGUUAUGCUUUUGUGCAAAUGCUUGGCUCAUGAAUGAAUGCGAUGAUCCAGAAUCAAACAAAACAACUGCAAGAUGUUGGUUGACAGGAAACAUACCAGUUGUUACCGGUUCUCCUUCCGAGAUCUCCUGUAUCGAGGUAUGGUGCACUCGAGCUGGGUAGGUUGUCUGCUGCCUCUUGGGGUAGGGACAUUCCUUGGCAAAGUACCCCAUCUUGUGGCAAUUAUAGCACGGUCCCUUGGUCAUGUUGUUGGCGGCAGGUGCUGCAGCUUGAAUUGCCUUUGGCUUGGCGGGAGCUAUUGCUACUUUGUACGGCUUCUGCUACGUUGGCUGCCCUAUGUUCCUUCUCUGCGGCGGUCGAAACCUAGCACCUGGGGCAGGAGGACGAUACUGCUGUCGCCCUGCCACCGGUGCCCUGGGCUGGGACGAUCCAGCUUCAAAAGCCCUCUUGCGAGAUUUGGAUGCACUAUAGUUGUUGUUAUUGUUUUCCUAGGUCAAACAGUCACUGAUGUAGGCAUUGAAGGUAGCCCGGGCUCCUGUACCCAUGGUCUUCAGCAUUUUUGGGCUCAAACCUCUCUGGAAACUAGCGAUCUUCUUGGCCUCCGUGUUCACAUACUCGGGGGCGUAACGAGCAAGAUUGUUAAAAGCGUGUAGAUACUCCUUCAUAGACUUUGUUCCCUGGGAUAGCCUCAUGAACUCCCCAACCUUCAUUUCCACCACACCCGGAGGAAUGUAAUUUCCCCGGAAGGCGGUGGUGAAGCGGUUCCAGUUGAUAGGGGUUCCCUCUGGGUAGGUGGUACGGUGAUGGGACCACCAAAUCCCAGCCGGUCCCUGCAACUGAUGCGCUGCAUACUCAGCCUUGAGUUCUUCAGUCAUCCGAAGAAGACGGAACUUUUGCUCCAUAGUGUUGAUCCACUCAUCUGCCUCGAGCGGUUCUAAGGCCUCCUUGAAGACUGGUGGUUUGGUAUCCAUGAAGUCCUUGAAAGAGCUGUACUGAUUGGCUUCACGGCCUCCCUGGUUAUCCCCACGGCGGGUAUUGUCAGCGAUAUUGCGCAGGGCUUCUUCCAUGUUGCGCUGCAUCUGCUCCAUGUUGCGUUGGCUCCCCAGAAACUGCACAAAAAACACGUCCGCAGUGUACGGAGGAGGUGGUGGUGGUGGCGGUGAUGGUGCUCUUUUCUCAUUCCGUUGAGCCCCACCUCCGGAAGUACCCGCUCCAAGUCCGGGGUUGCUGUUACCCCCGCCACGUGUCUGCACCAUCUGCAUGCGUCAAUGAUAAGCAGUCAUUAGGAGUUGCCAUCAAUGGUAGACAUAUGUAGAAUUAUGCCGUACUGAAUUUACUGAGGAAAAUAAAUUCGCACAAUAAACAGAGGCACAAAAAUUCAUCAUCCACACACAACAUCACUAAUGGAUUACUUAACAUUCGAGCAACAAGGUUUGCAUACAUCCAGAUUUGCCAGCAUACAUACACUGGACUUUCAGCGUCAUCACAUAAAGUUUUACAUAGCCUAGAUCCACAGAUUACAAGACAUGCCAUGUAACAACAACAUCAAAAGAAGAAAGGACUAGCUCUAGAGCUCUAGCAUCUACUCGCUAUGGUCACUGUCCAUGCCGGAGCCCUCCUCGUCCUCAUCUCCACUAGCGGCUACCUCUAUCUCUGGAUCCUCAUCCAUCUCGUCCUUAGAAUCUAGCUCAGCUGCUCUAGGCAGGUGGUGAGGGUGGAGCUGGUUAGCAGCUGGUGGAUCUCCUCAUGCAGGUUUUCAUUGUACUCCUCAGCAUUAGCUAGCUGCUGCUCAAGCUCUAGCUGUCAGGCCCUCAGGGUGUCCUCUCGUGCAAGGCUUCAUUCCUCUGACCAAGCACAUGAACUAGCAUGUGCUCACAGUUCCUAUGAGCAGUAGUCACCCUGUCCCUCUGCUCUCUCACUGCAAGCAGGUCCUGACUCAGCUCACUGUUCUUCUGGACUGCCUGAUCCCUCUCUCGGGUCAUGUGGGCCAACUCUGCCUGCAACCUCUCUACCUUAGUGUCAAACUCACGCUGCAGCUGGCGCUUCUCAUCCUGAACUGUGAGAAAAGACCCAGACAAGUGUCCCAAGCAACGCUCCAGACCCCCAUAGGUCUUCAUCAAGGCAAACAUAGCGCUCAUAGCUGUGCUGUCACUGUGCUGGUCCUCGUCCGCACUCCUCUCUAGAGCAUUCACCUUGAACUGAUCCCACACCGAAGUGUAGGGGUCACCCCGGGGAAACACCCCAGCGAAGGCGUGGGCCAGCUCCUGUGGAAACCUCUCCAUGAUGUCCCUCAGAACUGCAAAGACUGCUCUGCUGGCAUCGUGGAAAGGCAUGGAACCUCGGGACUCGUACACCCAGCCGCCCAGGCAGGGUCACCUCCACUGGUAGGGACCACUGCCUCGAUCCCCACUAGGGUCCCAUCACCAAGCUGCUCCUUGUUCCAAUAGUAGCGAGGUUCCCUUCCUUCGGGAUACCCCAUCGAACUGAGCACCCUCCAAAGCAAGGUGGGCAUCCCAAACUCCUCUAGGAACUUGCUCUUGUGACGCGAGCUCCUAGCUGCCAACUGAUGGCGAGGGGCCCGCCCACCAGUGGGACUUGCGAGCGGUGAGCCUAGUGCGUGCCAUCUGCUGAAAAUAGAAUACCUUGGGUAAGAUUGAGAAGUACCUUUUAUUAGCUUAAUUAAAAUUGGAACAGAUUUAAUUAAGGGAAGUAAGCAAUGAUAUGAAGUGAACAUGAUGCAUGCAUGAACUUACGAUCUCACAAACUUAGAAACAAAAGUAAACACUAAUCGGUAUAUGCGGUGGCACACAACGUUCUCUCAUAACGUAACUAGCGUUCUAGGCAGGAACGUGGUUAGUGUACCUGCAGAAAACUCGUUUUAGCCCAACCACAGUAUGAACAUGCAGAACAAUAAUUUAAAUCUACACACCCCACAUGCAUAGACACCACUUCCAUGCAUAUGGUGUGUUACUACCCACAUCAUCGCCCUAGUGACGGCAUCGCCUCUCAGGAUGGAAUCUCCCAACAUGCGGUACUGUUCCCAGGCACACCAAACAUGUGUGCAUGACACAGCACCUAACAACACUUCCCUAGAUCGGCAGUGUAUCCGAUCACGCUCUCACAGCUCCCACUUACCGAGGCGUAGAGGAAGAAUUGAUCCAUACAUUACCACCCAAAUGAAUGGUACUCAUACUAUUGCACGCCGUAUGAGCGACAAAAUAGAAAUAUGAUGCAUUAACCCCCAAGUCAGUACUUAACUAGCCACCUUAGAGUCCUUAACUGGGCAUAAAGGAUAUGACCUUGGCACACUAGAUAGUUUUCCAAAAACUUAGUUUGACACCUUGAUUAUCAUUAAUUAAUAAUAAUCUUUUAUUAAACCGGUUUAAGGUUAGUUAGAGCGUACUUAUGAACAAUAACUCGCUAAACCUUGCUCUGAUACCAGCUGUAACAAAACCGACCAAAUUAUAAGAGAUUAAGCCUGAUAGUGACCAUUUGCACAGUCAAACUACCGAGCUUAAGCCCAUAUAUUCCCGGUAGUCCGUAAAAUCUCGAAGGAUUUCAAACCACAACUCGUACAUACAGCCAAGAUCAUAAUAAGUUUAGCGGUCACCAUUCAUAAUUACAUCCAGUUCACAACAUUCAUCAAAUACAUCGGAGUACUUAAAGUUAUUACAAACCAAGUUCUCAAGUAGUGGAAGCUUCAUAGUUCGAAAGUAACACACACAUGUUUAGUUUGAUACAGUGCCAUAGUUCGGUCAUUCCCACAGAAGCAAAAGAGAAGGUAGAGUGACCAUCGCCCUUGGUCUAGUCAUCGCCCAUUGCUGGGUACAAGCAGAGGAUGCAAUAACCAUAGUACAUUUGACCAUCUGCAAAACAACAUGGGAAAUAGAACCCUGAGUACGAGAAUGUACUCAACAAGGAUCAUGAAGGCUGUAUGGUGGGGUAGCUGAGACUUUUUGCAUAAAAGCAUUAUUCCACUAAAACAUAGCCUAGAGACCAUUCUUCUUUUAAUUAGCUCAAGUUUGAUCAUAUCAUUACCUAUUAUCUAGGUUUGCACCUGUACUAUUGCAAACAAGUGUAGUAAUAUGAUAGUACCUCAUCAUAGCAUUCAUAAAUCAUUUAUCAAUGUAACCCAAGUGUUCCAUAGUCCUUACUACGAGGACAAGGCUCAUGUCAAGUGCUCACUAUCCAGGAGCGAUGGCGAUUCGAAUCGAUUUCUGACCAGCUGGCGAGUUAUUCUCCACACAAACCACACUCACUGAUCAAGUGAGCUACAGAUCAUCGUGUUACACUAUCCAGGACCAAAUCGUGGGUUCAGCAGGCACCGCUAAUACCCGAGGACCGUUCUGACAACCGAGGUAUCCAAGGUAUACCAAGGUUGCGCGCCGCGCCCUCGUCGUUCUCCUCAACCAUCACCAAUACAGCGCAUGGCGGCUCCACUCCCGGCUCGGAUAGUGUUCAGGCUUCGCGGUCGGAACGACUUAUCCUUCCAGCUAAGUGUGGGGCAUGCGUUCAACAUGACAAGAGGGCCGUCAACAAUCGGUCCUUAAUCAACACAGGCUGGGGCACUACGGUCAUCCCCACCAUAAGACCCUGCCCGGUCUCAAGUUCAUUCCCACACUUGUUUACUUUUCCUCAAAGCAUUAUCAGCUAGUCAAACAGGUGUCCACCUAUAUCUCGCAGGUGAUAAGGAAUCACCCGACUUCUACCGGACUAAGCAAGCUAAGCAUGGACUCUGUGCCUAUCUACAUAGGACAAGGUAGAUAAACAAGUGGUAAUAUCAAGGAGUACUUAUGCAUUAACGGUAUCAAGCAAUUCCUAUCACUUAAAUGCAACAUAGUAGAACAAGCAUAAUAUAUCAUUUAAGUUAGCAAGAAUAGGGAGACUUAGAAUGCUCCGGGGCUAGCCUUUCUCAAACAUGCUCGGCUUGUGAUCCGGGCACUCCUGCAACUCUUCUCCAGGCUCUGGUCCUCUCAGAAGUUUCUACUCCUGGGUCACCCCCUACUCCUCGGGUCCCACCUCGUUCUCCUGCGAGCCUGUAUGAUGCAGGUGUUCUUAUGAGUGGAGUGCGAGAUGCCCGGGUGCAAUGCUUAUACAAGUGGAUACCAGAUGACCAUGACAUGAUGCAUAGAUGAUAUAAGUGGUCACUUUUACAAGGUAGUCAACAUCAUCCAAGAACAAGUAAUCGAACUAAGCAUCUAUUGCAUUCUCUUCUACAAGUUGUCUUCAUGGUUAACCAGCAAGCUAACAUGAUGCUUCAAAGAUACACCAAACAAUCUUUUAUUCUAUCUCAUUCAUACACAAAAAUUCUUAUUUUAUUUACUCACUUUUGGACCUACAAAAGUAGCAUAUAUCUCUGUUUAACAAUAAAUUCCACCAAAAUUACAGUAGACUACUAGUCAAUCAUAAAGUCUACCAUAAAUUUUUCAUAAUAUUUGGACAUUUAUUUUGGGCUACAAAAAUUACAAGAUUAAUCUAUAUAAUUAAGUAUAAUUACCCUACUGUUGUGUAAGUGUCAAACAGCAAAUUUCAUAUUUUUAUAAUUUACUCAUUAUCAUAAGAAACACCCACAAAAAUUUCUAGAUUAAUUGCAUGAUCCAAUUAUUUAUUAAAAAUCAUAAACAACUUCCAUGCAAGCAUUUAAAUCAUCAUAAAUUAAUUCAUACAGCAAAUAAUUUGUAACAUAAUUUUCCCAGAGACUAAUCAUCCAUGCAGAGCCAGCAAAAUAAGUUUCAUAUUUUUCUGAGCUAUAUUUUAAUUACUAUGCAUUUUCCAAAUUUCAGCAAAAACAUGGAUUAAAUAUAUUUGUACAGAAAAGUUGUUCAAAUAUGACAUGCAACCACACCAAACUGUAGAUCUGGAAUUAAGAACACAUCAAAUUUAUUUCAUCAAUUUUGGAGCUAUAUAUCUCAAGAUAUGGAUUUUAUAUCAUUUAAACUAUUUUCUAGAAAAUAUUUUCUGAAAAACCAAUUCAAAUCCACCCCCGGGACCAGUUGGUGCACCCGGUGCAGUGCACCCGCGGCCACUGACGAGCGGACCUGCCUGCCAGCCGGGCCCGCUGGCCAGAACACAGAGAGAGGGGGAAGGUCCCCGUCGACGGCUUGCCGCCGGUGAGGCCUCCCGGCCGAAACCAAAGGUACCAACACGUUCGUCUCCCUCUUGCGACUCGAUCCCACCCCACCACUGGCUCUAAGACACAGCACAGCGAGCUGGCCACCGGCAAUGGCGGACCGGCGGUGCUGCCGCAGCGGUGCCGACCACCACAUUCCGGUAGAGCGCGCUAGAGCGGCUUCUAGCGACUCGGGGAACCACGGCGACCACGGUGCGCGCGCUAGCGAGGCAAGAGAGGGUCAAGAGAGGGAGAGCCAGGGAUACCGAUGCCGCGGAGAGCUCCGGCGAGGUCGCGCACUGGCGAGCGAUUCGGUCCCCUAGGAAGGCUCACCUGCGCGAAGAAGGCACGUCCGAGCACGCGGAGACAAAUGCGGAGCUCGGAGAGGUGGAAGAAGGCGCUGGGAGGCGACGAGGUGCCGGGAAUAAGGCGAAGGGAGCUCGGGGAGCUCCGAUGGCGGGCGGCGGUGCGGUGCGCGCGGAGCGGAGGCGAGAGAGCGGGAGAGAGAGCGAGAGAGCGCGCACGGGGGGAGGCGAGAAUGGCAAGUGCGCGGGCACUGUCCACAGCGAAGGGGGAGGUCAUGGCGUCGGCGAGCCGCGCAUGCCGUCCACGCGGCGCCGUUGGCCUGACACGGUCGGGCGCGCGCGCGGCGCGGCCGUGUCCGAGCGCGGGGAGGGGGAGUAGACGCGGCGUGGGGAGGCUUGGGCUGGCUUCGCUGGCUGGGCCGGUUGGUUGGCGCCGGCCCGCCAGUGAACAGCCCCCCUUUUCCUUUUUUUUAAAAUUAUUUUCCCAAAAAGCUUAAAUGAAACUUUUGAAGCUUUUGCAAAACUUUUCAGGGGUUGGAGUAAAAAGAAGAAUUGCUCCCCAUAAAAUUCCCUACAACUUUGCUUUAAUAGGUGAAGUCAAAUUCCAAAUAGAAUUUGAAUCACAAAUUAAAACUAGUUCUAGGUUUUCAAUAAAUUCAUUUUAGAGAUUUUUUGUAUAAAUUUCAUUUCUCAAUUUUUAUAGCUCCAAAAAAUUUCACAAAAUUACUCUUAAAUCUUCUAACCCUUAUUUUAACCUAAUUUGGGCAAUUCAAGAAUUUAGAAGCAAGCAUAAUAUUUUUACCAUAUUUAAUUCACAUAAAAUAAAGCACAUAAAAUCACACUUGAAUGAAUGACAUGCUCAUGUGAUGCUAUGCUUGAUGAGAAUGCUUAUGGAUGAGUUUAUGAGACUAAGUACAUGCUUAACACCUAGGGUGUUACAGAGCCGAUCAGUGGCGGGCAGAUGAGGAGCAGGCUAGGAGAGAUAGGGAUCAGGUUGCCAUCAAUGCAGCCAUGCAGGCCAGGCAGGACGAGCUUUAGAGAUAGCUUCUGACCUUCCAGGAGCGGCAGCUAGCGUUCUAGACACAGCAGACUGCGAUGAUGGCCGCUCUUAUGGCCGCUUCAGGGAUUUAGCUUUCUCAGAUUCACCUACCAGGCACUUCCUCGGUCAGGCCUCCUACUCCAGUGCCUCAGCCUAGCGGCUUUCAGAGUCAGUCUGAGCCGCCGCUUCAGCUCCCUGCUCAGAGUCAGCCGUUCUCGAAUCCUCAGCACCAGGUUUCUCAGGGUGCUAUUUCUUCUAGCUUUGAGCAGGUGCCUCAGUUUACCCCGCUUCACUCUAGUUUUACCCCUCAGUCAGCUACAACAUCACAACUUGUGUUGAACUCUUCGACAGGGCAGCACAUCAAAUUUUCUUACAGUGCUCUGACUGGUGACACUACGCCUUCACCUCUUUAGGAUCCUGCAGCCUUGAUGGUCCCAGUUACCACUACUGAGCGCCUAUCGUCGUCUGUGGCUUCGUCUGAGCAGCUUGCACCUUUUCCCACAGUGCUAGAGACGUCAGCCACAGCUAUUGAGUCCGUGCCAGCUUCUUCAGCAGGUCCUAAGCAGCCAGCACAACCAGUGACAGCUUCAGAGCCCACCGAGCAGACCCGGACCACUUCUCCAGCUCCAGUAGCUUCCGAGGGUCACUCUACCUCCUCCGAGUCGAUGGCCGAUGGAUCAGACGAUGCAGCGCAGUUUCAGGCUGUGCCGAGGGACUCCACUGCUCCGCCUCCACCUCAUUCGUCUUAGGUUUUUGGCGAUUGAUGCCAAAGGGGAGAGAGAGCUGAGAGUAUGGUAGUUAGGGGGAGCUAGAGCUAGCUAGUGAGGGUCUUUGAUAUUUUGUGUGCUACUUCAUGCAUCAUGUUUACUUUAUGCAUAUUUGUGUGAGAUACUCUUUAGCUUUGUGAGAUACUUUUGGUUGUGAGACAUGAAUUCUACUUAUCUGUGAUAUCUUUAUGUCAUGUAGUUGGCUCAUAUUCCUUUGCUUCCACGUUUUUACUCCGAUGUACUAUGAGCCUUAUGUGAUUAUAUCCUGUUGUAUACUUCUCACAUUUUUGGAUGCAGGAUGGUAGACUUGGUUGAUAUAAGCAUGCCUAAUCCCAUUGUGUUCUUAUUGUCUCAUGCUUAUAGAAACCAAGUCAUUUGAAAACCUCAUUUCCUUUCAUACUCGAGGUUAUUGUCAUCAAUCACCAAAAAGGGGGAGAUUGAAAGAGCAUCUAGGCCCCUAAUGAUUUUGGUGAUUAAUGACAAUGUUGAUUACUUUGACUAACGUGUGUUUGCAGAGGCAAAGUCAUUAGUGAGGUAAUGGUAAUAGGUACUCGAUGAACAGGGAUGUACAUGCCUACUUAAUAGUGGAAAUCGUUUCGGUUUUCAAAGGAUGGAUGGACAUCGUGAAGACUAGACUAGGUCUAAGUGCCAUAUGGUGAAGAAGGGCACUUAGAGCAGUUUAGGACUUUGUUUUUCUUUUGACCGUACUAUUAAGAGGGGCUUUGAUCUAGUAGCUUGAUUUAGGCAAGGCUUUAGGUUUAGGUGUGGUGCACACUUGGUAAACCUAGCACUAGGCAGCUCAGAGACAGUCCUUAGAUCGAGAGGAACAAACUUUGUUUUGGAACGGUCGUGUUUUGAUGAAGUGUGGGUGCCUAAGUAGGCACCGGACGCUGCACCGGACACUAUGUGAGUGCGUCCGGUGAGGUCGUUAGCCGUUAGAGUGCUGAGUGCCUAGGGUUAGGCAUCGGACGCUAGCACUGACAGUACAGUUAGCCGUUGAAGUGUCACCGGACGCUCGGUGCAGAGCGUCCGGUGCAAAAUCAACAGCGUCCGGUGACCCCGUUUUCAGUGUAAAACGGUUGGCCGACCCUUGGACUUUGUGGGGUGUAUUUAUACUCCUCCACCUCAUCCAUGGGGGUUCUCUUGCCCAUUUGAUCAGUUGAGAAACUCUUUGUGGAGCAAGAGAGAAGCAAGAGCCUAGAGAGGAUUGAGAUUUGAGAGAUUUCUUGCGAGAAUCCUUCUCUAGUUGAAUUCCAAGAGUCAAGUGUGCAUCCACCACUCUCUAGUGCCUUGUUUGGGUCAAGUGAGAGUUCUUUGCUUGUUACUCUUGGUGAUCGCCAUCACCUAGACGGUUCAGUGGUGAUUGGAGACACGAAGACCCCCCGGAGUUCUUGUGGGUGGCUCGUGUUAAGCUUGUGAGCGGUUUUGGGCGAUUCACUGCGACGGAGUGUCGAAGAAUCAGCCCGUAGAGAGCACUUGGUCCUCGCACGGACCAAGGGGGAGCAAGACCCUUGCGCGGGUGCUCCAACGAGGACUAGUGGAGAGUGGCGACUCUCUGAUACCUUGGCAAAGUAUCGCCGAGCAUUUUCUUCCACUACUCCUUUACUUUCUAGCAUUUACUUUGUGUUUUUACAUUCCUAGAAUGGCCUUGCUAGAAUAGGAUUUGAACUAUGUUGCAAAACUUUUGAUCCGGUAGCUCUCUAGUCACACUAGGCACAAGGGGUCUGUUGACACCAUUUUUGGGCACGUGUCUAGGAUGGCAGGAUAGGGUGGCGGUACGAUGCGGGUUGCUGAUGAGGAUGGUUGCCGAUGAGGGAGAGGUUGAAUGUGACUAAGUCCACAGGCAGUAAUAUGGUGCCGAUAGCUGGAUAAAAAGGUCUGCCGAUGAUUAUGGCAAGGGGAUUGCCGAUGAUGCGAGGGAGGAGUCCGGAAGCUGCCAGUUGUCAUGUGGAGGAGUUUCGGUUUGUCACGAAGGAUAGUUUUAUUAUUUCCUUAAUUAUUUGCAUCGUUUUGUAUACGGAUUCCGUGUAAUUUGGAAUUCGAAUUCUAAUCGUGUCUGGUUGUAGCUCUUUGAGCAGGGUAUAAAUAUAAACCCUAGGACCUUGUAAUAAUCAAUCAAGAAAUCAAUCAAACACACGUUUUUACUCAUAUUCCAGCAUCUACUUUUCGACGACUUCGUCAUACUUUUUUCUUUUUAUUACGAGUUCUUAGGAAUUCGUCGACUUAAGCUCGGCGUGUUCUCGAGUUCCGCGUGAGUACCUCUUAGCCGUGACAUCCGGGCGCAUCGCUGUUGUCAGGACUAAAGUAUUCGAGUUAUCACCUUUGCCGAUAGCAAGGUCAAAUCGGCUGGCACGCCUUAACGUUUGAAUCGGGUAUUAGCCCUUUGUGUUUGCAGAUCAGUUUUGCAUCAACACAUCUUUUGGCACGCCCAGUGGGACAGAUUCAAGAUCAAGAUCAACAUGUCAAUCUCUGACCUCGAUCAAGAGAACGUCAUCCCCGUGACGGAGGCCAACCUCAAGGAUGAGCAAAAGCAAGCUAUUGCCCAAGCCAUGGAAGAGUUCAAGCAGCAAUGCCUGAGGUCUUUCAGCAUAAACAGGAGCGGCGAAGUGGUCCAGAAAGAUGCACUGCCGGCACCACGGCAGGUCACCUUUGACGCCAAUCCUGGCAAGCUUCAAGAUAUGGUUGACAAUGCCAUCAAUCGAGCGUUGAUUAACCAAGCUGGUGUACUGUCUAAUACGGUUUUCAACGCCGUGGCAAGAACUUUCAAGGAAGGACAAAUCCCGCCAGAUUAUGUGGGGCCCUCCCAUCAUCAGCCAACGGCACCAGAGGUCACGGCUCCAUCGGCUGCCUUGACGAAUGCAAGUGCACAGUCUGCCGUCCCUCCAAGUACAUUAGGGACUACUGGUGCACUAUCUAUGCCGAUGGCAACCAACCCACAAAUUUCAGUUGGGCAGCAUAAACUGACAACAGAUAUGUUGGCAUCGGCAAUGUCAGGGUUGACUCUUCCUCCCAACUGGUGGGGUUAUGGUAUGCCUCCAGAGUUGACGCCGGGAACAUCACAAAUAACUGACAUGAGGGGCAAAACUCCUAUGACAUCGGCACCUCCCAAUGCGCCGGUGAACCAGAGUCCUCGGUAUACCACAACUACUACUGCAAGGCCUCACACUGGGAAUCCUCAAGAUUCAAUGUUUCAGAUGCCCAACGCAUCGGCAGAGUCAAUGCUGAUGCAGCAGAGGCCUAUGGCCCAGUCGGGGUAUGUCAAUUCAACGACGGUACCCAAUUACCAAUCAUCGGCAGCACCUAUGCCGAUGAACGCUAAUAAUGGAUGGCUUGGACAGCAAGCCUUUCCACAAUCGCCCCAGCAGGGUUAUCAGACUACAGGGUUCCAGCAAGGGCAGGUCUAUCCCGGAUUCCCAGGUCAGGGGAUUCCCAACCAGCCAAUAAAUUUUGGACAGCAACUCGGAGGACAGCCAAUCGGUGGACAGCAGUUUGGUGGUCCGCAGAUUGGAGGACAGGUGACCAAUACAAUGUUCCAUGCAGGUCACGUCCCGAACAGACACGUGGAGGUUCGCCACCAAGUGCCAGAUCCGCAGCCGCCUCAUCGGCAAGAUGCCGAUGCGUAUUGGGCCGAUAAGAUUGCUGAAGUAAUGAGGGAACAAUUUGGGAUAAAACCCAAAGUCAACACUUAUUCUUAUCGGACACCGUAUCCUCCAGCGUAUGAUUUGAUCCCGCUUCCACAUCGGUACAAGGUACCGGAUUUUACAAAGUUUUCCGGACAGGACGACAUGUCAACCAUGGAGCAUGUCAACAGGUUCAUUAUUCAAUGUGGAGAGGCUGGUAACAGGGACGAAUUGAGGGUUCGUCUAUUUUCAUCAUCAUUGUCUGGAUCGGCCUUUACUUGGUUCAUAUCAUUACCUCCCAACUCAGUAAUUACAUGGGCCGAUCUAGAGAAGCAAUUCCACAAAUACUUCUUCUCGGGGGUUCAUGAGAAGAAGAUCACCGACUUGGUCAAGUUGAGGCAACGUAAUGAUGAGUCGGUUGAGGGAUUCGUGCAGAGGAUACGAGAGGUCAAGAAUAAAUGCUAUAGCCUGGUUCUGGAUGAUCGGCAGCUAGCCGAUUUGGCGUUCCAGGGUUUGUUGCCACAUAUCAGGGAUAAGUAUGCCUCUCAGGAGUUUGAAAGUUUAAGUCAUUUGGUGCAGAGGAUAUCUGAUCAAGACAUCAAGCCUUUCGAGCCUAAGAGGGCAUGGAAUAAGAAAGUGUCAUUUGUUGAUGAAGCAACAAGCUCAGAUUCCGAUGAGGAACCAGUAAUCGGUUUGGCAGAGUGGGUAAAAAACAAGAAGCCGAUGUCCUGUCCUUUUGGGCAGAAGGAACCAGAGAAGUUUGCCUUUGACACCGCCAAGGCCGAUAGGAUAUUUGACUUUCUACUUCAGGAAGGUCAAAUCAAACUGUCACCUAACCAUGUGAUCCCAUCGGCAGAAGAGUUGAAGAGGAUGAGAUAUUGCAAGUGGCAUAAUGCAACUUCACAUGACACCAAUGAGUGCAAAGUAUUCAGACAGCAGCUGCAAUCGGCUAUAGAGUCCGGGAGAAUCAAGUUUGACAGCUCCAAAGCCCAGAAGCCGAUGAAGAUAGACCAACAUACUUUCCCGACAAACAUGUUGGAUGCUAAGGGGAAGGCUAAGGUCUUAACGUCGGAGACAGCUGAGAAGAGUGCAUCGGUAGAUCCUCAGCAUCAAGUUACUACUGCCGAUGCAAGAAGUAAGGGCUUGGUCCAGGAAGGAACUAGCUCAGGAAGGCUUCCUCGAUCUGGUAUCGUCAUAACUCAUAGGAGGCCUCGAGAAAAAUGGCAACAACGGGAAGAUCGGUAUCGGCGCCAGCAGGAAGAUUAUCAACGGGAAGAAGAAAGACGCCGACAGGAGUGGAAUCGGCACAGGGAUCAUUGGAAUUGCCCAUUCUUCAUCCAUUGUUGGGAGGAAAAUAUCAAGCUUCCUACUGUCAGAGACUGCCCUGAAUGCAACGGUUAUGAUCGGUACGAUAGGAACGAUCGGCGUUAUCAUGAUGAUGAACGGCGAGCUAAUGGGCCGAUCAGAGGAAGGGUGUCAGUUCGUGACCGGCUGGGGGGCAGAUUCAGUGGGCACAACAGACUUAGUGACCGUGUCCAGUAUUUUCCCAGGAACCAAGAGGAGCUCGAAGGAAUGGCUGAUGCGCGGGUUCCCGAUGAAUUCAUAUUUUGCAGGGAUGCUAACACGCAUCGCAUGGAGUCAAGGGAGAACCGACGCCCGACGGCAAGGCAAAGGCCACUUCCUCCAUGGUGCCCUCGAGGAUUAACCAAGACACAGAAAAGGAGAUUGCAACGAGAAAGGCAAGAGGAGCUAAACAAGGGAGAGAACUCUGGAAGUCGGCAGCCGUCAGACACUAAGAGGGAAGGUCCAUCAGCAGGCGUCAACAUGGUCUUCAUGUUGCCGAUGGAGUUUCUUGCACCAGCCAGUGACGAUGAGUUGGAAUUUUCUGAUCAGAUAGCUCAGUUGGCUCUGGAUCCGAUGACGGCUAUCUUUGAGAAACCUGCCGAUGACGAGAGGCAGCAUCUUAAAGCUUUGUUCCUCAAAGGAAGGGUUGAUGGGCAGCCAAUGACCAAGAUCCUAGUUGAUGGUGGAGCUGCUAUUAUUAUUAUGCCGUAUGCAGUAUAUCGGAAGCUUGGGAAAGGGGAUCAAGAUUUGACCAAGACCGAUAUGAUGCUCAAAGACUUUGAAGGAAACGUGUCUCCAGUGAAGGGGGCGAUAUGUGCAGAGUUGACCAUUGGCAGCAAAACCUUGCCGACAACUUUUUUCGUGAUCAGCGGAAAAGGUGCCUACAAUUUAUUAUUGGGGAGAGAUUGGAUUCAUGCCAAUUGUUGUGUCCCAUCUACCAUGCAUCAGUGCUUGGUUCAGUGGGUAGGUGACAAGAUUGAGAUUGUCCCAGGAGAUUCUUCUUAUGUUGUCGCAUCGGCAGAAGCGGAUACUUACGAAAGGACCAGGUGCAUUUCAGGAGAAGUUUGGGAGAAAGAUUUUCUCAAAGUUGCCGAUUAUGAGAUUCCACCGAUCCAAGCAGUCGGUUCUGACGAUGAUUUUUAAUGGAUAGAUUCGCCGAUGAUGGAAAAUUAGGCCAGGGAUUCACAUCGGCCGAUGAUUUGGUAGAAGUAGAUAUAGGUAGUGGUGAUAAGCCUAGGCCUACUUUUAUUAGUGCUAAAUUAGAUCCUGAGUGUAGGCGACAAUUGACUAGUUUGUUAAAGGAAUAUAAAGAUUGCUUUGCUUGGGAUUAUACAGAGAUGCCUGGUUUAGACCGAUCAAUUGUUGAACAUCGGUUACCCAUCAAGUCUGGAUUUCGGCCACAUCAGCAACCAGCCCGCCGAUGUAAUCCUAACAUUCUACCUGAUAUUAAGGCCGAAAUCACUAAACUUAUUGAAGCUAAGUUUAUUCGGCAGUGUCGGUAUGCCGAAUGGAUUUCCAAUGUUGUUCCGGUUUACAAGAAGAAUGGGAAGCUUCGGGUGUGCAUUGAUUUCAGGAAUCUCAAUAAAGCUACGCCGAUGGAUGGAUACCCAAUGCCUGUCGCCGAUCUACUGGUUGAUGCUGCGGCUGGCCAUCGGGUCAUUAGCUUCAUGGAUGGUAAUGCAGGUUACAAUCAAAUAUUCAUGGCAGAGGAGGAUAUUCCAAAAACCGCAUUCAGGUGUCCUGGUCAUGUUGGACUAUUUGAAUGGAUAGUCAUGACUUUUGGGUUAAAGAAUGCUGGUGCUACUUAUCAAAGGGCUAUGAAUUUUAUAUUUCAUGAGUUCAUCGGCAAGCUCGUAGAGAUUUAUAUUGAUGAUGUGGUGGUUAAGUCUGGAGAUUUCUCAAAGCAUCUUGCUGAUUUACGAAAAGUGUUGGAGUGCACAAGGAAGCAUGGAUUGAAGAUGAAUCCCAACAAGUGUGCAUUUGGCGUAUCGGCAGGGCAGUUUCUUGGUUUCAUGGUACAUCAGAGGGGUAUUGAAAUUAGUCGAAGAUCUAUUGAUGCCAUCAAUAAAAUAGUGGCCCCUACCAAUAAAACCGAGCUCCAAUCCUUGAUCGGCAAGGUGAAUUUUAUCAGAAGAUUUAUAUCGAAUUUAUCUGGGAGGAUUCGUGCCUUCAGUCCUCUUCUUAAAUUGAAAGCCGAUCAAGAGUUUGUUUGGGGAGAAGAACAGCAGUUGGCUCUGGAUGAAAUCAAGAAGUAUCUAGUAAAUCCUCCAGUUUUAGUUCCACCUCAACAAGGGAAGCCCUUCAAAUUGUAUUUAUCUACCGAUGGAUCGGUUAUCGGUUCAGCUUUAGUUCAAGAAUUUGAAGGGAAAGAGAGGGUAAUUUAUUAUUUGAGUAGGAGGUUGAUUGAUGCUGAAACCAGGUAUUCGGCCAUUGAGAAACUGUGCUUAUGCCUAUAUUUUUCAUGUAUCAAGCUGAGACAUUACCUGUUGUCGGCCGAAUGUGCUGUUGUUUGCAAAGAUGACGUGGUCCGAUACAUGCUAUCUAUGCCGAUUAUGAGUGGUAGGAUCGGUAAAUGGAUUUUAGCGCUGUCGGAGUUCGAUUUGCGUUACGAAUCGGCUAAGGCAGUCAAAGGGCAGGUUAUGGCCGAUUUUGUGACUCAGCAUUGCGGUCUAGUGGAAACCUUGGAAAUUGCACCCUGGACGCUCUUCUUUGAUGGAUCUACCUGUGACCGGGGGGCAGGAAUCGGCAUUGUAUUAGUUUCUCCUAAGGGGAGGAAGUAUGAGUUUUCCUUGCCGAUUGUUGCUACAUCAACAAAUAAUCAGGCUGAGUAUCAAGCUCUGAUCAAGGGAUUGGAGUUGUUAAGAGAAGUUCGUGCUGAUGCUGUUGAAAUAUUCGGGGAUUCUAUGUUGGUUAUAAAUCAAUUGGCCGGAAGCUAUGAAUGCCGAAGUGAAGUUCUCAUAACCUAUUUCGAGAGAAGUAUGCAACUGUUAAAGGAAUUCAAGGACUUCCGAUUGGAGCAUGUUCCCCGAUUGUAUAAUGAAGACGCUAAUCGGUUAGCUCAGCAUGCCUCGGGAUAUCAGCCAAUGAUUAAUGCGACAUCGGCAGUCGGUGCCGGUGAUUGGAGGAAAGAAAUUGUUGAUUAUCUAAAAGAUCCAUCCAAAAAAGUUGAAAGACGGGUUCGAUUUCAAGCAACCAAGUAUGUGCUCCUUGAAAAUGAAUUGUAUUAUCGAACUGUCGACGGAAUUCUUCUCCGAUGCUUGGGUGAUGAUGAAGCCAGAAGUUUGAUGGGGGAAAUCCAUGAAGGAGUGUGUGGAGCGCAUCAGUCAGCUUUUAAGAUGAAGUGGAUGAUUCGAAGGAAUGGAUAUUUUUGGCCAACCAUACUUGAAGAUUGUUUUAAAUAUUUCAAGGGAUGUCAAGGUUGUCAAAAGUUCGGUAAUAUCCAGAGAGCACCCGCAUCGGCUAUGAAUCCUAUAAUAAAACCUUGGCCGUUCCGGGGAUGGGCCAUCGAUCUGAUCGGCCAGAUUUAUCCACCAUCUAGCAAAGGGCAUAAGUUCAUUCUAGUUGCCACUAACUAUUUCACUAAGUGGGUCGAAGCUAUUCCUUUGAAGAAAGUCACAUCGGCCAAUAUGAUUGAUUUUGUGAAGGAGCAUAUUAUUUACCGAUUUGGGAUUCCCCAAACGAUUACUACCGAUCAGGGCACCAUGUUCACGUCAGGGGAGUUCGAUGAAUUCGCAAUCGGUAUGGGAAUUAAAGUGUUGAAUUCUUCUCCUUACUAUGCUCAAGCCAAUGGGCAGGCCGAAGCGUCUAACAAAGGAAUUAUCAAGCUUAUUAAACGAAAGAUUGAAGAAAAUCCUAGGCGGUGGCAUACAUUGUUAAAUGAAGCACUAUGGUCUUAUCGGAUGGCUUGUCAUGGAUCAACCAAGGUGUCACCCUAUCAAUUGGUGUAUGGACAUGAUGCAGUGUUGCCUUGGGAGAUUAAGGCUGGAUCUAGGCGAUUAUCUUUUCAAGAUCAAUUGGCUGCCGAUGAUUAUGCCACUUUGAUGACCGAUGAGUUAGAUGAUUUAGCAGGGCAUCGGUUAAAGGCUUUAAUGAGUAUAGAAGAAAAUAAGAAGAGAGUUGCUAGAUGGUAUGAUAAGAAAGUAAAGGCUAAGGAGUUUGCCGAUGGGGAUUUGGUAUGGAAGUUGAUUUUGCCAGUCGGGACUAAAAGUUCGAAGUUUGGGAAGUGGUCUCCUAAUUGGGAAGGUCCUUAUCGGAUAAGACACUCGGCUCCUGGUAAUGCCUAUAUUCUAGAAACUCUCGAAGGAGUUGAAUUUCCCAGAGCAUUAAAUGGCAAAUAUUUAAAGAAGUACUACCCUAGCAUAUGGGUCGAUGCAUAAAAGUUUAAGUGCCGAUAACACUCCUAUCGGCUGGAUUUAAAUGUUUGAGGGCAGACUUAAUGUUUCAAAAGGUGCCGAUAACAGUCUUAUCGGCUAGACUAAAAGCUAAAAGCGGGAAAACAAAGGUGUGUUGCCGAUGAAAGCUUCAGAUGUUCAGCAGCGCUUGGAUUGCCGAUAUGGUGCGCAGCCGGAUCUGAUUGGCUGUCUCUAUCUCUUUGAUAUCAUCAUCGGCUGAACCUUCUAUCGGCUUCAGCUUCCUCUUCAACUGCAGCGCUUUGCGACCGUGGACGUUUCGUUCUUGUUCAAGGUGCUUGAUGGUCUCCGGCAGUUGACUCUCUUCUUGCUGGGCUUGGGACAGAGCAUCCUCUACUUGCUUGAGUUCGGCCAGUAGAGCUUCUCUUUUUGCCGAUAGAUCAGAUACUUUUUGCUUCAGUGCAUCACCUGAGGACUUUAAGGUGCCGAUGUUCUUAUGUUUCUCAUCGGCUAAGAGUUUUUCUUUCAUCAUCUCCUCAGAAAGCUGGAUUUGAGCGGCUCUAUCGGCAAGGCGUCGAGUGGCUCUCUGGUACUGUAGCUGGCGGCUUUCUAGGUGUGCAGCAUGGAAGAGGGUUUCUUCAGCAUCGGCCGGAAGUUGGCCUCUAAGGGUUUUGAACAGGGCCUUGGCUGGGUCAGAAUCGUUGACCAGUUGAGCUGUGUCUUGAUGAAGUAUGGCCGAUAGCUCCUCCAGCUUAGCCCUGGUUUCUGCCGAUACAAUCCCAAUUGCCCGAGAGGAGCUUGCUUCCUCACCUUCUUCUUCGAAGAUAUCAAUGGCGAAGGAGAAUAAGCUGUCGGGAGAAUCUUGUUCCUGAAAAUGAGAAUGAAAUAAGUCAUUUUUAUGGUCAAAGCUUCGGCAGACGAUACUGGUGGAAAAAUUGGAUGACUUACUUGUUUCAAGGCAAUUUCUUGCCUUUGACUCAAAGAUAGCGAUGGAGCUACAGGUUGAUCGGCAAAUGUUGCCGAUGGAACGAUAUCGACUGAAAGAAGACAGGAAGGGUUAUGAGACUAAAUGAGAAUAAGUUUAUCGGCGGAAGUAUUGUUGAAAUAUGUUACCCGGAGGAGGAACAACAGUUGUCUGAAUCGGGGAAACCGCCGAUGAUAUAACUGGACCUGCCGGGCCAGUUGUUUGUUCACCCACGUCAGCUGAUGUACCUUCUAUUUGAGGUUCUUCCUGCUGGGGUUCUUCCAUCUGUGGUGCUUCCUGCAUUGGUUGGGGAGAUGGUGCUUGAUGUGUCUGGACUUCUGGAGAAGAAGGGGAAGAUUCCACCAGGAUUGGAGACACCGGAAGAG
This 46527-nucleotide long non-coding RNA is filed under the name Sorghum bicolor (sorghum). RNAcentral describes it as "long non-coding RNA (SBIC_LNC006923)". The stretch from base 4030 to 4136 matches the Rfam family "Plant small nucleolar RNA R71". Lineage: Eukaryota; Viridiplantae; Streptophyta; Magnoliopsida; Poales; Poaceae. The record is from RNAcentral.